UUUCCAAUACCAUUUUUAUCAAAAUGACUUCAUCGUAGCUUAGCCAAAAAAGCAUUAAACUUCCCAUUAAGCCGAAUUACCAUGCUAUAAUGCUUGUUCACCUUCUGUUUUAUCAAAAGCUGGAAAUCUGACUUCCUAUUGUUUUUUUUCUUUUGUCAAUUUUGUUUUUCGAUAGGUUUCCGGAGUUCAAAUUAGCGAUGUGACAUACGAAGACAUACACGGUACAUCAGCAACAGAAGUUGCAGUAAAAUUUGAUUGCAGUCCCAAGCACCCUUGCAGCGAGAUCAAAUUGGAGGAUGUGAAGCUUACUUACAAGAACCAAGCAGCUGAGUCUUCAUGUAGCCAUGCAGAUGGAACAACUGAGGGUGUGGUUCAGCCUACAAGUUGUUUGUAGAGUGGAAAAAUAUGAACUGCUUGUAGAAGUAUUGAAAUCCAAAAGUUUGCCCUCCAGUACUAAGGACAAAUGAAAAGUGAAUUAUACGAUUUAUAUAGGAAGAAUGAGCUUGUGUUGUUGGCAGCCUACUUGGGCUUCCCUUGAGCCUGGCCGUUCAAUUAGUUUAGUUUGUUCAAACUCGUCCACUUCGAUGGGUGUUUAUGUUAUGAAUUGUUGUAAGAUUAUGUUCGGGAUACGUUAAAUUUAUAAGAUUAAAUUUUAUGUUGAUGGCUAAUGUGGCAUUUGACAUAGGAUUCAAUAUUCUAUCAAUUUAAUUCACAAUUUUAUUAUAAUCGAAGCACACAUUAAAUAGUAAAAAUUUGGUUCAAGAAACAAAAGGAUUUGAAGUCUCGCAUGAACUUUUUGGUUGGAGCAUUUUCUCAUGUCAAAUUUUACCCGUUAAAAAUUUAUUAUGAUAUUUUAACAUUUCGGUUGGAGUAUUUUUUUCAUGUCAAAUUUGACCCGUUAAAAAUUUACUAUGGUAUUUUAGCAUUUCGGUUGGAGAUGUAUAAAUCUUAAAAAUGCAUUCAAGAUGCAUUUUUGUUUCUUAAGCUUUGAGCUUUAGGUAAUUAACUUUAAAUGUUGUUGGGCACCUUGCACUAGUUGAUUAAAGAAAAAUAGACCCGAAGCAAGAUUCCUUGUAGUUGCCAAUUCGAAGUUUUCUUUAUCGCUACAUACUUACUGGUCUACAAGUUCUCUCUCUAAUACAUAAUUUGACAUAAAUAAAUACAGUGAAGAGUGCAUUGACUAAACAGAAAAAAAAACAAAAAAAGCAGCACGUAAGCAAUUACGUGCAUUUGGUGUAAAAGCUAAAGGCCUCUGAUUUAUGUAAGCAGUUACGGUAAUCAUAUUAUAUUAUAUGUAUCUUAGUUCUGCAAUUGUAACAGGAAUAAUAUUGUUUUGUUAUCCCCAAUCAAUAAUACAAUGAUACGUGAAAAAGUUAUUUAACAUGUCAUUGCGUUAUUAGCUGGGGAUAGCAAACAGUGCUAUCCCCAUUACAUGAAAGUCUUUCUCCUGCAUAUCCUAUUAUACUAUUAUAAAACUCAAUUGGUCAAUCAUAGUGAAAAAAAUAUAGUGAAAGAAAAAAGAAGAAGAAGAAAAUAUCAAUUAAGCCCCUCUUAUAUUGAACACUUCAAUAAUAAAAUAAAAAUUGCAUAUGGAGUAAAGUCAGUCAGUUAAGAUAGUAUGCUAGUUCUUUUGCACCUGAGUUCAAUUUCCUUCCCCGAACAUUUUCAAAUAAAUAAUAAUAAAAUAAAAUGUGAAUUUGAUAGUCAAUGUCGUAGUAAAAUAUGGUUUUUUAGUAUCAAUAUUAAGGAAAGCCAUUGUUCUUUCUAGCAGAAUGCCCGCCACUGCUAGAGAGAGAGAGAGAGAGAGAGCGGAAUGGCAGAAGUGAGUAACAAGCAGGUGAUACCGAGGGAGUAUGUCACUGGCUUUCCCAAAGAGUCAGACUUGUACGUGAAUAGCACUGCUACUAUCAAGUUGAAGCUUUCUGAGGCCCCCGAGCAUGAGGGUUCUUCAAAGAAACUAGUUCUAGUGAAGAAUCUUUACUUGUCCUGCGAUCCCUACCAACGACUAUUUAUGGAAAGAAUCGAAGGCCUCAGCAGCCAAUCCACUUCCUCCUAUACGCCUGGUUCUGUAAGCAAAACCCAUCAUAUAUCUUUUCCUUUCAAUUUCUGUAAACAUAUAUACCAAAUGUUAUGCUCAAAUAUAUAUUAAUUGUUAAACAUUGUUCCCUUAAAAAAAACAAUUUAUUGCAAAAUUGGAAUAUACAAGAGGUAACUCUGCACAAAUAUUAAUGACAAGAUGAGGUGGCUAAAAGCACUGUUAAUGUCUAUCAGCGCGCAAUGAGCACGAAUAACUGUGAUUAUUAAGUAGUAGGAGCUGAUAGUUGUUUUUGUUACCACAUCCUAUGCCACAAAUAUUAAUUAUUACCAAUUAUUCUUCUAGUAAUGCUUGUUUUUUUGUUGAUGGCAACAUUGGGAGGAGGGAAUCAAAUACAAGUUUGAUCAUAUGAUUAAUUUAAUUUUGUUGGUGUAAACGUGCAGCCAAUAUACGGGUAUGGAGUGGCUAAAGUUUUGGACUCUGGGCACCCAGAUUUGAAGGCAGGUGACUUAGUUUGGGGGACUACCUAUUGGGAAGAGUACAGCCGAAUCCCUGAACCCGAAGGCCUGAUCAAAAUCCAGCACACUGAUGUACCUCUAUCCUAUUAUACUGGAAUUCUUGGUAACAAGUCAAACCUAUUUUAGAUCAUGAUGAUAUGUGUUGGUUUAGAUACGUAAGUGUAUUUUUUGUAAUUUCAUUUCAGGUAUGCCUGGUUUGACCGCUUAUGUUGGUUUCUAUGAAAUUUGUUCUCCUAAGAAAGGAGAACAUGUCUUCAUUUCAGCAGCAGCUGGUGCUGUUGGUCAGCUUGUUGGACAAUUUGCAAAAUUAAUGGGUUGUUAUGUUGUUGGAAGUGCUGGCAGUAAGGAAAAGGUACGAACUUGAGAAAUCUUUGAACUUCAAAUUAAUAUUAUCUACACCAUUUUUUCUUGUUUGGGUUGUAUUUUGCUGUUGUUAUUUGGGCCAACUUUGGUGUUGGUUUGGUUUGGGGCCUCUGUUUGUGCGCUGGGACUACAAUGAGUGGAAAGUUAUAAGGGGUAAGUUAUAAGGGGUUCACUUUAUAGCCAUCAGAUCAAUCCAAGGGCUGGGGAGAAUUGAGAUAAAGUUUCACAAUUGGGUAGGUGAGGAACCCAAACCCGAAUUGAAUAUCCAGCACGUCCAAAAAGAAGAAGAAGAGGGAAACACGUUCGAAAAAGAAGAAGAAGAGGCAAGUUCGAAGUUUGAACAGAAAGAACUCAUCUCUCUAAAACCCAGAGGUCUGAGAUACCCAAUGAAGGCAACGGCUAACGACAGUUGAAGGCAACGAUUCGCCACUCCGUUCUCCAGACCCUGAAAAAGUAUUUAUUUGGAGUAGAAGGGGCAAAGGUGUGGAUUCCAAAUCAAUGAAGGGGCGAAGCAGUGGAAGGGGAAGGGGAGAAGCUAUAAUCGUUGGAAGUGGUAGGUUCCAUUUGUGGAGCAAAGAAACAGAAAGACCCCACACAGACACCUUGCAAUAACCAGCAUUUGGUGAGUAAUUUAUGGAAUUUGAGUUUAGGGUUAGAGUAAUGGUUUUCCUCAAUUUGUAGCAUAAAUUUUGUUGGAUUUGGCAUCUCUUCGUUGUGCUUGAGUUGCAUGUUAAUUUUUGCUUAGGUAUAUGUUAAAAAAAGAAUGAAAAUCAAGUCAAUAACAAGUGAAUAACAUGUCAAUAAUGAUAUGAAUAAGAUAAUGGUGUUGAAUUGGAGGAGGCCCUCAAAACCUUCCACAUUUGAAGCAGUGCAUAGUGCAGAUUAAGAAGAGGCGGUAGAAUAUAUAUAUAUAUAUAUAUAUAUAUAUUUUAUGAAGUAAAUAUGAUUUCCUUUGUUACUAAAUUUGCCUGAGAAACAUUUGAACAGAUAAUAAUAAACUCAUGAAUAGAAGUGCAAAGCAUUUGAUGAGUAAUUUAAGGAAUUUGAGUUUAGGGUUAGAGUAAUGGUUUUCCCCAAUUUGUACCAUCAAUGUUGUUGGAUUUGGCAUCUCUUAUUUGUGCUUCAAUUGCAUGUUAAUUUUUGCUUGGGUAUAUGUUAAAAAACGAAUGAAAAUAGAGUCAAUCACAUGUCAAUAACAUCUCAAUAACAUGUCAAUAACAUGUUAGUAAUGAUAUGAAUAAGAUAAUGGUGUUAAAUUGGAGGAGGCGCUCAAAACCUUCCACAUUUGAAGCAGUGCAGAGUGAAGAGUACCUCUCUGGCCCUAGAAUUUAUAUAUUUUGUGAAAUAAAUAUGAUUUCAUUUGUUACUAAAUUUGCCUAUGAGAAAUGAGAACAGAUAAUAAUAAACUCAUGAAUAAAAGUGCAAAGCAUUUGAAAUGAAGGUUGAUCUAUGACGAUUGUGGGUGACUGAAGAAAAAGCUAGAAAGAAAGAAGGAUGUGGCAAUUGCUUAGCAAGCAGAUAGCAGAGUAGAUGCUUUGCUUUGCUUCCUUCCACUAUAUUUCUUAUUUAUUUAUUUUGUGUUGUGUAUGAGAUGACAAUAAUUGUCAUGUGUGUGAAGUGCAGAACUUGCCUACAUUGCACUCACACGAGUAUGGAUCCAUAAAUAAAACACGUGAAAUUGUUUGUAAUUCACAUAAUCAUUGCAUUAACAGGUAUUUGCACAAAAUUUGUCAUAUUGCUUUGAUGAUGUUAAAGCCUAUGAUCAGUAAUCCGUAUGCUCAUGUACUUUGUAAAAUUUGUAAUGUGCCUGGUUGACUAGUUGUGAUUGUGCAAAUACGUGGCAGUAUAUGUGUUCACGUUAUUUCACAUUGUAUUUGAGGAAAUGGGAUCCAACGUGGAGCUGGUAUGGCCAGAGGCAGAGGCAUAUUCGUCACGGGUGAACAACUGCUCACAUGCAAAUUCAUCUCUAGCUGCAAUUCGAGCGAAGUUGAGUGCGGAACAAUUAGAACAAUUCAAGACAUCAUGCUUUGGCCAUCUUCUGAAUAUAGAUAAGAUUCAGUUUAGCGGGCAGAUUGUGCAUGGGGCUGUGUUGCGUAGAGUAGCGGGGCAGGGUGUGAAAGACUUGGAUGGACUGAGUUUCUUAUUAGGGUGUGACGUUGCUCAGUUCACUCGUCAGGAUUUCUGUUUGAUCACAGGGCUUCGUUUUGGGGAAGUGCCUGAAGUUUCCAGUGGAGAGAGUGAUGUAAUCAGACUUCAGAAAAGAUAUUUUAUAGACGAAGGAAUUACAUGCAAUGCUUUAGAAGAAGCAUUUAUGGGGUGCACAGAGGAAGAUGACAUCUACAAGCUAGCUCUUGUUUACUUUGCUGAGUUAGUGGUUUUGGGAAGGGACAAACAUUUGAACAUCAAUCUAAAUUACCUGACCCUUGUAGAGGACUUGGAUGCGUUCAACAGGUAUCCGUGGGGUUCGGUGUCCUUUGACAAAACCCAAGACAGUCUAUUUUCUGCACCAACAAAGUAUGUGAAAAGCUUGCAAAAUGAAGAGGGAAGAGGGAAGGGGAAAAGUAAGGUAACGGGAACAAGCCGGAGAAAUGAGAAGGGCAGGAAGGAUAAGCAUGGUGAAGCGCAAAGGAGUGGCUGGAGUUUUAAAGGUUUCACGUAUGCUUUCCAGGUACAUGGUAAUAAUGUUCAUGUGAGUUAUGUUUUGUUUUUCUUUAAAACAUAAAUAAUGACUUUUGUCCUGUGAAUUGUGUAGAUUUGGGUAUAUGAAUUAAUUCCUAGAAUGGCGGACCUGAAUUACUGCAAGGUUGUUGAUCCGACCGCUGUCCCGCGUAUUUUGCGAUGGAGAACUACUACGUCUGUUCCAGAGAUGAGAAAGUUGAACAAUUAUUUUUUCCAGAGCAAAGAGGUUUGGUUUGCAGCCCUUGGAACUAUUGAUAAGAUUGAAUGAAAUUUUGAAGUAGAAUGAUUUAAUAUGACUGUGGUUUGUAUUCUGAAACAGUCAGUUCAGUUGCGGGCGCUAUGUCCGAGUGAAGAGGAAAUGAGACAGCCAUAUUGGAGUUGGCCACAGGAUCGCCCUGAUGAGACAGCCAUAUUGGAGUUGGCCACAGGAUCGCCCUGCUGUUGUCUCGGCAGAGUCAAUUCCUUCUUUAUGUGGUGAUCUUGAUCAGUUGAACAAGGUGGUAAGCUUGUUGAGGUCCGAGUUGUUUCAAGUAAAGCGGGAAAAAGACGUCCUUCACUUAAAGGUCAUACGGAUGGAAAAACUGUUGGACCAAUGUUUAGGUCCUCAGUUUGAGCAGGAAGUAAGGAGGGACCUAGCUUUACUGAAACAGAGGACGAAGCGUUGUGUCGUCUCACAUCUAUUUAGGGGAUAUCGGGAAUUGGAUGACAUUCAAUGGGAUGAAGGGCCAAGUAACAGAAAUGAGGGAGAGGAAAAGGAAGAUGAAGGGAUUGAAGGGGGUGAAGGGCCAAGUAAUAGAAAUGAGGGAGAGGAAAAGGAAGAGGAGGGGAUUGAAGGAGAGGAAAAGGAAGAGGAGGGGAUUGAAGGGGGUGAAGUGCAAGGAAUACCAAGUGAGGUAGAGGAAGGGCAAAGGAAAAGAAGUGAAGGAGAGCAAGUGCAAGUAAAAAGUAGCAAAGGAGAGGAAGCCCAAAGACAGAGCAGUGAGGGAGAGGAAGUGAAAAGAAAAAGCAGUAAGGGAGAGAAACUGCAAAGGAAAAAAAGGGAGGGCAAGGAAGUGAAAACACAAAGAAGUGAGGAAAAGGAAGUGCAAAGAAACCAAUGUGAGAAAGAAGAUAAUGAAGUUAUGUUGCUUGGGGAUGACAUUGGCGAGAGCACGGAGGGGACACUGCUUGAGUUUACUGUCGGGGACAUUGAUUUGGAUCAACCUACAGCUGUGCUAUCUCAGUUGAACGUGUGGUUGAAUGAUAAAGGUAAAGCUGUGGCACAAGGGGUCCAAUUACGGAAAAGGAAGAGGAUCAUUCCUAUGUGGAAGAUCAUUGAAGGCAUUGAAUUGGUUCCAAAAACUGGGGCACAGACAACCGGACUGAAGAUGUUAGACCCAAUGAAGGCGAUUCCGCAUGAUGAUCUGGUGAAUUUGCUGAAACUUUGUUGGGAAUGGCGCCAGGACCCAAAGUAAGUCCCUUGCAAUUAUAAGAUAGAAGCACGACUGUAUAUAAUUUUUAAUAUACAGUGUUCUAAAACUGUUUUAUAUUCAUAGUUUAGUGAUGCAAUUUGGCAACGUGGAAGCUGAGAUUGAAUUCUUCGCUUCCCUCGUGAAAGCUGAUGGUUGGCUGAAAGGAGAUGUAAGUGUAAUUGAUUAUGCAUUUGUUUUAAUGUAUAUAGAUUAUGAGAUUGACAAGAACAACAUGUUGCAGCACAUUGAGUUGGGGUUGUAUCUCAUCCGGAAGCGACAACAACAGUUUGAGGAAGUAGAAAUAGCGGACUGGACAACGACAGAUGUUUUUUUUAUGGUAUGUCAUCGGCCUUGACCAAGUGCCGUUAAUAAUUACACAUUUUCCAUACAGACAAUAGUGGAGGUGUUUAACCAUUGAUUGUUUUGUAUUUCACAGAAUCACAUUCGAACUUGCUUUGCGGAUAAUAAAAGAAAAAAACAGCAGCUUGGGUGGAAAAUCAGAAAAAGUUUACUAAACGUUGUAAAUGGGAAGGUUCCUCCGUGUGGGAUGGAUUGGCAGAACGUCUAUACGGUGUAUACCCCAGUUAUGUUGACGAAGUACAAGCAUUGGGUGGCUGUAAUGAUUGAUCUGGUAUUGUGUGAAAUCAAAGUGUACGAUUCAAAGGUUUCACUAAUUCCAGAUGACAUCGUAAAGGAAGAACUCGCCCCGCUAUCAAUUAUGCUUCCAAAUCUUCUCAACACCAUCGACUUUUAUGAAGAAGGUGUUUAUGCAAACAAUUGCAUGCGAGAUUGGUGGUGUCCGUGGCCAAUAGAGCGUGUGGAUGUUCCACAACAGUCUAAUGAGUAAGCACAACUUGCAAUUUAAUUUUAUUACUUUCAAUUGUCAAUUACGUUAGAAUGUCAUUAGUUGAAUUGAUCGAGUUCUUGUUUUGCUUCAGAGGCGAUUGUGGCAUGUUUGUGUUAAAGUACAUUGAGCUUAUCAGCGCUCAGCUUUCGUUAGCUAUUUGCACCUCGCACAACAUGCCUUUUUUUCGGUUGAAAUUGGCUGCGGAGAUAACAAGGGGAGAUGCUUACUUCCCAUGAUAUUGGUUGAAGAUGACAAAUGGUACAUGAGAAGGUUUUGGGAAUGUCCAUUCUCAAACUAAUGUAAAUACACAAUAGAGACGUACGUGUCCUUUUCGAAUUCUACCGCUAACUCCUUCAUGACAUUUACAUGUUUGUUAACCAAACUGCAUUGAAUUGGAAUUUUAAGACUGCAUAUGUUAAUUGGGAUUUGAAGAUGGCUUUUUAAGUGUAUUACACCAUUGCAAAGUGAUAUGUCAUUGUUGAUGCAAGCCACCAUUAUUCGCAAUGAGUUGCAUCAUAAUAGGUGUGUAAACAUGCGAAAGGUUUUCGGCAGCUCAGUAGCAUAAAAGUAGAAACAAUUACAAUAUACACAAAAUGAACAACAAUUCACUUGCGUUUGGACAAGCAAUACAGACACAACAGACAAACAAUAUACACAAAAUUGGCCUGCCAUAUACAGACAUACACACAGUAGACAUGCAAUAUACACACAGUAGACAUGCAAUAUACACACAAUAGACAUGCAAUAUACACACAAUACACAUGCAAUAUACACACAAUACUCCCUUAACACACACAAUAGACAUGCCCUUGCCCACAAUAAUGAUGCAAUAUACUUCAGUCCCCAAGUACACCAACCAUAAGGAAGUCGUAUUGAAUAGGAUAUUAAACUUAACAGUUGUUCUUCCUACUAAAAGAAAGAAUAACGUCCGUUUCCCCCCUUCAUUCUUACUUCAGUGAUACUUGUGGCCCCAAUAAACAUCCAAUAUUGGGUCAAGGAUAUUCCAUAUACAUGCAGCAAACUAUCAAUAAACCUUCAAUAAACAUUCAAUAUCGGUUCUAUAACAUGCGAAAUACAUGCAGUUAACAAAUAUUACAAAAUGGGUUUAGGGUCUCAUUGGUGGUGCGUGCAACAUGUCUUGUGCGGAAGAACUUUCACAAUCUUUGAAACCAUGCAGUUAAAUGAUCCUUAAAAGAACAAAUAAAAUGACAAUUGAUACAACUAAUAAAACUAAUACCAAGUCCUUAAUGGACUUCAGCAUGUUCAGCACUCUAGCAUCAUACGUGUCAUCUUGAUGUUCUGCUUCAGCGGAGGUUACAUCAACCCAUUCGAAUCCAUUGCAACUGGUGGCUCCCUAAUUGCAGGCAUCAUAUAUGGAAUAUAAUUCUGUUAGAGUUAGACAUGGGUUUAUUUUGACCCACAUACAUAUUAUUGAAAUUAAAACUUACAUAGGAGGUUAGACACUUCCAGAAUGGCUUCCCUCGAUUUUUGUCAGAUUUUGAAACCCGAAGCACCAUUGUAGCUCCACAAUACUGACACCUCUUUGUUUGAGCAGGAGAUGAAGACGAAGACAUGUUGAAUCUUCUCAGUUGUACCUCUUCUCACUCAGAUCUUCUCACUGAAACCUCUUCGGACUCAUACCUUCUCACUCAUCGUUGUCAUUCAUACCCCUUCACUCAUAACCCUAAACUUGUCACUCAGCUCUCUCUCAUCUCUGCCCAAAUCGAGUUAUAUUUCUUUUUUUUGGGAUCAUUUGGUGGGUUGGUCACGAUCUCGACACCCGUACCGUCGGCAUUGCGACAUCUUUUAGCCCGAAAAGCAAUAUAAACUACUUCACUACCAAAUAUAUUUUCUGAAAAAUGAGGGGACACUGCUUCAAAUUUAUUAUUUUAUAUAUAUUUCAUUAAGGCAACUAGUUGGAUAAGAAUCCGUCAUUAUUGGUUCCAUUUGAAUAACAUUACUAGGGGUAGUUGGGUGUGGGAAAAUGAAAAAGUAUAUGAUGGGACCUUCUGUCACUACUCAGUAAUCCAUCACAUUUGUAUCAAUGAAUUUGAUAGUGGGAUAAUCCCACAAAUGGCUAUGCAAAUAGCCAUUUAAUGAACUUUUUGACUGUCUGACUCUGUAUGCACCGUUAUGACGUUUUCCCUUCUUUUGUCUUCAGUUUUAAUUCACUUGGGUUCAGUUUCUUUAAAAAUGGUCAACUUGGAAAAACCCCAACUGGAAACACCUUUUCAAAACACUAUAAACAGAGGCUAAAACAAAACGUGUACCCCAAAUAUUCUCAUUUAUCCCCUCUGCCACUCCUCAAAUCGUUCCAUUCCAAAAACUUUUCAAUGAAUUCGAAACACUUCACUACAGUCGGAGGAAAGAGAAGGAAGCAUCUCCAUUUCGAUAUGCCCGAAGCCUUCAUCCCGGAGUCCGCUUGGUUUCAAGUGAUGUUAUACGUGGCAACCGAAUCAUCGGAAGAUCUCUUCCGUAUGGCAUCUGUGUGCCCAUUGUUCCAAACUUUGGCAAACAGUCCACAAGUGUGGAACACCAUUUCAAUGGCAAAGUACCCACACCAUCCUAGCUGGUACCGUGCCAGACCUGCGGUCCAGCAUUUCUUGCAACAAUGCAGGGCUUGCGAUAACCCUGAGUCGAUAUUUAGAGAAGCAUUCGAUAUUUUUUUCAGGGCCAGUAAGGUGGAAGCGUUGUAUGGGAUGCGCAUUGCAGCCACGGCAGGCCAUAUGGAAGCGGCAUAUGUAGUUGGACUACUUGGUAUAUCCGGAAUUGGUCAGUCAAAAGAGGAUGCAUUACAAUUCUUGUGUUCUUUGAAUCAACGUAACAACAUUGAUAUGAAAGGAACCAGGGAUGCUUUGACACGAAGAUUAACCGGACCAAGAGUUGCAAGACAUAUCGUAGAUAUAUUUGACUAUGGGAAGAUUAAGUUCAAUCGCUGCAGCACUUGUAACAACAAUGAAUGGUAUUUUGUUAUUCAAGGCUGGCCUAGUGAAGACAAGAUAAAUCCUGCCUUCUAGACUUGUUGCAAUCGAUGCAAAUGGCACCGUGAGAGUAUUUUUUGGUUCAAACUGAUGCGUGAGUAUGUUGUGCGAGGGAAUCAUGUAUUUUUGCAUUAGUUUUAGUACGAAUUUACGGUUUUGAUGCAUUGUGGACUUACUUCUCUUCACUUCUAGGUUGGCUGGCUACGUUGUACAAAUGUUGUUUAAAUGUUGUUUAAAUGUUGGUAUUUUGUCAUAAACCGUUUUAUAUAUAAAUGUAUAAUAUUUAUUAUAUAGCGGAAUUAUUACUUACAUCAUAGACGGCUACGAAUGACAUUUUACUGACACAGAUAUUUUGCUCACCCACCCCAAUAUUCAUAUUUGGUAAACGAAAAGUCAUGCAUGGAGUAAAUAGGUGUCUUUUCACCAAUGCUUGGGAAUGACAUUUUCCCACUUAGCAUAUUCGACAGGAUUUGGUUACACGUUUCUUAAGCAAAAGUUGAACAGUGAAUGACGUUGAAUAAUUUGUUUGUGUGGAAGGAGUACAAUGGAUGACUUGUAUAUUUCCAUAUUAUGUUUGAAAACAUCCCUUCAACCUAAAAAAUAAAAAAAUUAACAAAUUGAAGAACAGAGAAACCGAUGAGCACUACAAAUGGCCUAUUCGCACGGAAAAUAAAAUUGUUUUAAACAAGUUGGACUAAAUAUAAUUAACAAAUGGACAGCCUAAAAAGUAAUAUCAUAAUAAUUAUAAUAAUUGUGGAUUAAUAAUAAUAAAAUACUAAUGUAGCAUAACCAUGAAACAGGGAAUUCAGUAGGAAGAUGAAAUCUCAAUAAGUUCGUUGAAAUGUUCGGAUCGUUUUUCUAAUUUUUGUGUAUUUAGUUCUGAAUUUUCCAAGAAAAAAAGUAAUUAAAUAAUAAUUUAGGGUAAAAUGGGAUGAUGUGGCCAUGUUGACUGACGUACACUUGUGCAAGUACUCAUAAGUGAGGGGCUGAGAUCGCGCCAGGUGUCUUCUUGGAAUUAGGGUUGGCUAUUUUAGUGGAAAAAUCCUUGAAAAUAGGUAAAAAAUAGUAGGAAAUUCCUAUUCUAGGUUGGGAAAAUUACCCGCGCCUCCUUGUGACGUCAUAAAACUAGGAGAACCUAUAAAUCAUCCGUCUCGCAAUGAAAUAAUCCAAAAUGUUUUACAUAACUCACUUCCCUCUUUACCCUAAGUAUUGAUGUUUGUUAACUUGAACUUCAAUAACCUACUUCAACAAGCAUCUCCCGUUAAUGUUGGGAAUAAUUGUCUAAAAUGCGUAACAAUGAAUCGGAGAAUUCAGCAAGGGAGAUGGAGUGUCAAUGAGUUCGUAGCAAUUUUCGGAAAUAAUUUUGAAUUUUUGUGUAUUUAGUUAUGAAUUUUGUAAGACAAAGUAAUAAAAUAAUAAUUUAGGGUAAAAUGGGAGGAUGUGGCCAUGUUGACUGACGUACACUUGUGCAAGUAGUCAAAAGUGCCGGGCUGAGAUCGCGCCAGGUGUCAUCUUCUUUUCAAUUUUGGAUUCUUUUGUUAAAAAAUCUUUGAAACUAAGUAAUAAAUAGUAGGAAAAUCCUAAAAAUGCCCCCAAAAUUACUCCGGCCUACUUGUGACGUCAUAAAACUAGGAGAACCUAUAAAUCAUUCGUCUCGCAAUGAAAUAAUCCAAAUUGUUUUACAUAACUCACUUUCCUCUUAACCCUAAGUAUUGAUGUUUGUUAACUUAAACUUGAAUAACCUACUUCAACAAGCAUCUCCCGUUGAUGUUCGGAAUUAUUUUUAAAAAUGCGUAACAAUGAAUCGGAGAAUUCAGCAAGGGAGAUGGAGUGUGAAUGAGUUCGUAGCAAUUUUCGGAUAAUUUUUUUAAUUUUUGUGUAAUUAGUUCUGAUUUUUGUAAGGAAAAGUAAUAAAAUAAUAAUUUAGGGUAAAAAGGGAGGAUGUGGCCAUAUUGACUGACGUACACUUGUGCAAGUAGUCAUAAGUGACGGGCUGAGAUCGCGCCAGGUGUCCUCUUGCUAUUAUUUUGGCUUUUUUAGUGCAACAAUCUGUGGACAUAGGUAAUAAAUUCUACGAAAAUCCAAAAAAUGCCCGGAAAAUGAGAAAAUGAAAAUUAUUUGUACAUAACUCACUUUCCUCUUAACCCUAAUUCACGUGUAACACGUAUAUUUCGGAUAAUAUUCGAUAUAUAAUUUGUAAUAAUACAAUAUUUAGUUUCACUAUAUACAAUAAUAUGUUUUGUUAUAAUAAUGUACAUAAAUAAUAAUUGCACAUGCUUUGAAGCCAUCAUUGCAACUACGCCUAGAGCUUUCAAGACGUCAGUUCGUAUUCAAUAAGUUGUCCACAUGCAAGUGCACCUACAGUUUUCAACACGUCAGAGGUAUUCAAUAAGUUGUCCACAUGCAACUGCACCUAGAGUUAUUAACACGUCAGAGGUAUUCAAUAAGUUGUCCAUAUGACGCCGCAUUGGGAAUCAGUAAUAUAUUUUCAAUCAUGUCCAAUCACAUAAAAUAAUGGCAUACUUUUUCUCAAUAACCUCACACAAGUGAAGCAAUUUUAAAACCCUUACUGAAUAUUUGUCCUAGUCUAUAUGAGUGAUUAUAUAAUCAGUCUGCAUUUUUUUCACAGUAUAUGUUAACUUUGAGAGGGAUUCCACAAACAUAAAAUAUAAAGAAAGCAAGAAAUAGUAGGAGAUGAACCAGUAGAAAAAACAAUAUAUAAAUGGUACAUAAUAAUUCCAUAACCUUGUCACAAACGCACUCACAAAAGCUUUUCCAUAAACCUUGUCCUAACAUAUAAUAAAUAAAGGCAACAUUGCAUAUGAUGCAACCAUGUCCAAAUCUGAUACGUGAUCAAAAACAAAUGGACAUGGCAGCAACAUAUGACUGAAGUAGAUGGGCUCUUUGCAUCUUGUGUUUUCGUAAUUAAAGACAUCAAAAUAUUAAGGUUUAAAUCUUCCAUAGUAGUUAGCAUCAAAAUAGCUUUGAAGCAGAGUGUAAAGAAAAUUCCAAUUCCACUGAUUUGCCUCUGCUCAAACACGAGAACCAAAAUGGUUACUUCCCUUGCUGAGUAUAUUUGGUGACGUCGGAAACGGUAAUAGAUGAUCAAUCAAACCCAGGUACGACGAGUUUUGCAUAGGAUCGGAAGUAGUCGAAUCCAGCUUGCAUCACACGCUUCUUUGACUCCACUGCAUUAGAUGAGUUCUUGUAUUUUUGAACAGCUACACUCCGAAGUCGUUUGUGUCUACGCUUCAUGCGCUGCAACUUCACCCUAUCCAGAUUGGCCUGCCUUUUGUCAUCUUCAAUUUGGCCUUCAACAAAUUCCAAACGUGCCCUUGCCCUUUGGAUUUCAUCACCAAGUUGAAGAUGCCUCUCCUUCCAAAAAGCAACAACUCUUUCAGACUCAAAACUUCCAACAAAAUGGUCAUUCUGUCUAGGAAUGUGACAUUGCUUGUCUGGUGACUCACUUGCGUGUCGAAGGCGGUCUUUGUUUGGAGGGGUGUUUAUUAUGCUCACAUCAAACUUGGUUAGUAAAUCCAUUCUUUGGGGGGAAUGAGUUUGUUUGCUUGAGAGAGUAUCAGUAGAUGGAGACAGAUUCGGUGGAGGAGUGAGUUUUGUGUGGAAGGAGAAUUUAUAUGAAAGGGGUGAUAGUAAUACCAAGAAAAGGGUUCCCGCCAAAAAAUAUUUGGUUGAGAAUGUAUAAAUUAAUUUUUGGUCUGAUACAAUCUAAGUUGAAUCCUAACUAGUUUGGUUGAGUUAACUAAGUAGAUGUCACUUCCAUUGAGUUUCUUUCAACCACUAUCAGUGGUGUCAGGAGAGUGUGAGGUUGACAUGCUUGAAAAGCAAAACCUGACACCUAUUUUUAAAAAAUUCCAUAAAAAAAGUACAUAUGUUGACUACACACAAGCUUUGGUAUGUUGGUCUAUAAACCUAUGUUCCCUUUCUCAAACGAAAUUGCAUAUGCAAUCCUCAUCCUCCCAAAACAAAGAGGAUUAUUCAAGCAUGUCAACCUCUUCAGGCGCCAACAACACAAUCGAAGAUGACAAAUUGGAGUCGCAGGUUCUAUUUCCACAUUGUACUCGCCGACCCCUUCCUUUUUCAACAUCAUUUGGGAGUGAGGGGGACUCCGAUGAUCCAUUAGAGGCAAUACAUGCAGUCAGUGGCAAGCUGGAUUAUAAUUCCAGACUGAUCAAUUCAUGGCACGAGAAAUGUGUUGAAGACGAGGCAAUUUUGGCUGAUCUUAACAUUAGAGUGAACAAAGCGUUCUCCCAAAAGAACAAGUACUUGAAGCUGAGUCAUAGCAGGAAGCUGAAAGCUGAGGAGUUGGAUACAGUAAUGAAUGAUGAAAUGAAAGGUUGUUUGCUGAACCACAUGCGAUGCGAAGAGCACCAUAGUGAACUGGAGUUGGCAUUCAACGAAGGAUUCGACAAAUUUCGAGCAUUUGCGGCAACUACUCAUACAAGUUAUGAUUGGAACUAUGUGUCCCCUGAUGCUGUGAGAGAGAUACUAGACGAUGGGGGUGACAUGAAUGAGCAUAAGCACGUCAAAGCUGCUCGGAAGAAGCCGACCGAUACGACUAAGUGAUUGCGGCUACCGCUGUUCAGUUGGUUGAGGGUGACCGUGGUAUUGCACAUAUACUCCCUUAAUGUCAUUAUCUAAUUUCAAAUAACACAAAUAUCAGUUUCAUUUGCUUCAUAUAUAAUUAUUGGGACUAUGUAUUGCAAGUCAUCAUGUGUUAUAAUGUCUAACAUUAUAUUUUGCAAAUAUGGAAAUAUUAUUCAAUAAGCAGUCAAUAUCACAGCAAGCCGGGAAUCAGUAAAUGCUCCUUAUCAUGUCCAUUUACAUUAAAGAGCUGGCGUACUAAUGUGUUCAAAAAAAACUGAGACGUGAGUCAUAAGUAACAUAACAUGUGCUAUACAUUGUUUACUGAAUGGUUUAUGGUUUAUUUUUAUAUAAUAAAAUUCCAAAUAUUGCUGAAGAUUUAUUUCGUCUAUAUGACUAGGGAUAUGAGUGGCCAUAAGCAUGUGAGACCUGCUAAGAAGAAGCUGACGAGUACGACCGAGUGAUUGUGGCUACCGUUGUUCAGUUGGUUGGGGAGAUCGUGGUAUUGCUAAGAGGGAGCACAUAAUAUGUUUUGCAAUCAAAUGUUCUUUUGUGUGUGGAAUUAUGAGUAUUUAUGUAAGUUAGUGUACCCUUUAAUAUUUUUCACCUAAGUAUCGAAAUGUAAUUAGCUGCAAUGUUAUGUUUCAUUUUUACACGCUGCUUUCUAUUUGCUCUGUUCCAACAAAGUGCUUCAAGUAUCCUUCAGUUACAAAAGUGUACAAAAUCGUGCCCCUAAUAACCAGUCGUCAAAAGUGGCUACUGCUGGAAAUGAUUACUGGUAAUGGAAACAACAGCUGGCUGCUGGAAAUGCUGCAUUAGCCUGAGGAUUUGAAAAAUGAAUCUCUGUUAAAACAUAAUUCACCCUAAACUGCCCAUUUUACAUGGUAAAGGUCAUUGCUUCUUCACAUAACUACAAAUUUCAUACUUGAUCAAAUGUCUAUGAAAAUUUAUAAAUAGGGAGAAGACGUAAAAUUAACAUGUCUCCAAAUUUCAUGGAAGAAUGAAACCAAGGAAAUUUUCAUUUCAAUUACCAGUGGACAUAGUAAGAGCUCAUCGGUGGACAUGAACAAAAACACAAUAAUAUUCAAAAACUGAAUCUAUAAAACUUCACCUGAUCAUUAAUCUUCAUAACAACCACAUUUCGUCUAAUACAAAUAUAAAUCAUUUAGUUGGUCCGUGCAUCCUGUCAAAAUCGUCGAAUAAUGGGUCACUACGAUGUAUUGGAGUUGAUUCGUCAUUGUUCGACGGUGAUGUCCUGCAUAAACAUCAAACACAAGCACAUAAAAAUUUUACCUUUUCAUAUUUUAGAUGUUAUUACAACUAGUGUUAGCAUCUUACGGUGUGUUCAAGGCUGGGCAUUGUCUUCUAUCAUGACCAAUGUGUCCACACUCCCGACAGUGUCUAAUCCCUCGCUUCAUUGCCUUUUCCUUUGCUCCCGUUACUCCUUUCGACCUUCCUUUGCACCUCACUCUCUUAGGGUCUUUCAUAUAUUGUGUUUGAGAGCUGGACCCUCCAACUUCGUUAUUACUUAGUCCAUCCUUCAGCAACUUUAACUUCACCUGCAAACUUUUUAGAGUCUCUGACAGUAGCUCACAUCCUUCUUCACUCAUUAAUGCAUCCUCAACCACAUCUGAAGCAAGUCGAGACAUUGUACUCCGCUUUAUUAGAAGGCCAGGAUCUGCACAGUCUUUAAUUUCGUUGCCAUUUGCAUCUGACACCAUUCCAGAUUUCGCAGUUUUCUUCCACCUCUUCAAAAUAUAUUUAUCGGGCAUAUAUUCAAUCUGGUCCCUUCUGAACAAUGCUAGGAUGUGCUUGCAAAUAAUUCCAACAAAUUCAAAUCUUUUGCAGCUACACGAUGCGUGGUCAGAAUCUUUGACAUAUACGACUUCUGCCACUCUUGUUUCCCAAUUUUUCCUUUCGCUCACGUUAAAGACAACUUUACAAGCAUCCUCUGUUUUGAGCUCUAGGAAACAUGCUGUACUUUGUAUUAGUUCUUGCUCAAACUUUUGAAACAUUGUCCUUGUGUACAAGGUAGCCAUUUGUUUGUUCAUUGGCAUCGGUAGAAGACAUUGAGCCACUUCAAAUGCAUCUACGUGAUCAGCAACUAACUCUUUUUCACGUUGAUGAGAAAGUGCCCUCUCAAAUCGUAUUAUGAAAUCCAUCAACGAAUUUCUCCUUGAUAUGUAUUGCUUGAAAAAACCAUGAGAACCUUCCGCUCUUUGGCUGCUUGACAUUCCAGCGGCAAAAAAUUGUCGUGCGUAGGCUGGAACCCAAGAUUCCCUUAAAUCAAACAUUGAACUUAGCCAUGGAUGGUCGGUCAAACCAGCCUUUGUAACCACAAUAUUCCAUUUUGCAUCAAACUCAUCCUUAUUGUCAGUAUCCCAUAUGGCUUUCUGAAAUUCACGCCAAUACUCCUUAUAAGCGUCACGUGGUAACUUAACAGAGAACUUUGAUGUGAUGUGCCAUAUGCAAAGUCGAUGAAAUGUACUCGGGAAGGCUAUUGAAAUCGCUAUGGCCAUUGCCGCAUCUUGAUCUGUAAUGAUCGUUUUAGGUUCCCCACCUGGCAUGGCUUUCUUAAACUCCUCAAACAUCCAAACAAACGACUCAGUCGUUUCCUUGCUCAAAAAUGCACAUGCUAAGACAAUUGUUUGACCAUGGUUAUUAACUCCCAACAUUGGUGCAAAUGUCAAGUCGUAUCGAUUCGUGUUGAAUGUGGUAUCGAAUACAACAACAUCUCCAUAAAACCCAUACGCCCGUCUAGAAGUUGCAUCUGCCCAAAAACAUCGACUAAACCUGUCAUGCCCAUCUCCCUCAAUCUUGAAAUAAAAAGCCUCAUUUUUUUUCUGUUCAGCCAUAAAAUACUCGGUCACUAGUUCAACAUCGUGGUUCCUCAGCUUCCCAUUCACACUACAUUCAAGAUUGUAGAUAUCUUUUUUGAUAAAACCGAUUUUAUCCAUUCCUCCGGAUUGCACCUUGAAAAUACUUACCUUAUGAUGAAUGGGAAUAUUAACUGAACCCAACUGUUUUGUGAGUACUUUGUAGAAUCUGAAAUAUGACGGUGUGAUCUCAAUAAAUGCAUUCUUUCUGAGGGUGUCAUCUUAUGAUUGUGUCCCUCUGCAAAAAGAGAUAUGGUAUACUUCUUGCUCCCAUUUGUCUUCACAACCACAAUCUUAGCUUUGCAAUUGCAUCUACUUAUUCCCCGUUGUCUUUUUCUCUCCCGAGUUUCAUCCUUCCUGUAUGCACCUUGUUUGCAACAUACAAAUUCUUUCCUCAAAAUCUCUUUCUUAUUUUUCCCCCAAAAGCUAGAAUGAAGUCGAAUACCAAAGCCAGCAAAGAAUGCAUAUCUAUUAUAGAAAUUGUAAACGAGGUCAAGCGAGUCAAACUUCAUCCCAACUGCUGGUGUUUCCUCAUUUCUUACUUCAGGAAUAUAAACCCUCCCAUUAGCUGUUGCACAUUCAUCACUCUCUGAGCCCCCAGACAUUUUAUCUACGUAUAUUAUUGAUCCACUUCUAUAUUACUGCAUAGCAAUUAUUCAUUCAUUAAUCAGUCAUUACUGCAUCACAACAUAUCAAUGCAUUCCACUUACACAAAACAUUGCCCAAAUUGACACAAAAUACGCAUAGCCUAACUUCCGAUUACACAAAACGCAAGCAAAAUUUCAUAAAAGUUACGUCAUCUCUUGUGAAAUAAUCUGGUCAAAAUAACAUUAGAACCAACAUGUUCAACUAAGAACACAAAUGUAAUUCAAACCACCAAUUACAGAACUUCACCCAAUAUCCUCUCCAACUGCUUACUCCUAAUGUCAUUAAGCCUAAGUUUAGGUUCUUUUACCUACAUUUCAUAAUUUUCCACCCCGACCAACAACAAUGAACUAAGAAUAUUGAAUAUUCAUAAGGAAAUGACACAUUAUUGAUGCCACAAAUGACGAAUUUCCCACCCUCACAAAAGAUAAACCUAACCCAAUAAAAUCAAUCCAGCAAGUGAACUUACCUCUCAAAAUCAAUCGGGAGCUCUGAAGUCAGUCAGCUUGAAAGAAUGUGGUGGACAUUACAGAAGACUCUUUGGUAUUUGAGACUCCAUCUCUACCAAAAUCGAGGAACAACUGCUGCUGCGGCUUCUAGCUACAAAAACAGAUAUGCUACUUUGCUUUCAUCUGGAAUCUUGUCAGCUGAAUGAAAAAGAGAAGGGGUUUUCACUUGAGCCAUAGAAUCAAAACAGGGCAACAGCUAGGUAAGAGCCAUUCUUCGUAAUACCCAGGAUACCAUAGAUCGCAGGCCUCCCAACGAGCUAAUGACAGUCGAGUGACUAUAAGGUUUGGGAGAUUUGGAUCCUUCUAAUUGUGGGUUUGCUUUACAUUCAAAAAGAAAGGAUUGUGUUCUUCAGUUUUUCACAGAGAGGGAAAGAGGGGAACAACUGAAGUUGGGUUUCUAACGGGUUAGAUUUCAACCCGAUUCUACAUGCACCCUCUUUUAAAAACUCACCGUUGGAUGAAAUCCAACGGCUCUUACAUGCCCCUCAAAAACACCCCUUAUAACUUCCCACUCACUAUAGAAGCUCCCCUGUUUGUGUUGUUGAAUUGGGUCUUUUAGUUGUUUUUGUAAACUCUGAUUUAAGUCUAGUUUGGUAUUGCUGUACUUUUAAAAAAAACUACUUCCGCUGUGCUGCUAGAAUACUCAGCUGUAAAAAAAAUUAGUUAUGCUUUUGGUAAACUAUAUUUGAAAAAGUGCUGUGAGUAAUCCAAAUGUUUGGUAAAUGACCAAAAAAAAGUGCUUUUAAUACGUACAAUGACUAAAAAGGACAUGAUGAUGGAACUAUUUGAUUUUUUCUUCAUUCUUUUUCUACUUAAAAAAAACUUCACUACAUAAUUUUUUUUUCUUUUUUUAUUUAUACUAUACACGUGUUCCUCUCUUCUCAAAAAAGUAAAUGCCUUUUGUUAUGUAUUGAAUGCUAACCCAACGACACCAAUUGGAAACCCAACACAGCCCAUCUCUCCACUUCAAUUUUUCUCUUUCUACCAUUUACAAGUUUUUUUUCUUCAUUCCUUCGUCUAACCAAAAAUAUCUCAUGUUUCCCCCAAUUAGUUUUAGUACUUUUGGGUAGGUGAGACUGAAAAGGGGAAAAAUUGUAUGUUGGGUUUAUGUUUUGGUGUUCUUGCAAUGGGAGAUAACAUAGUGGAGAAAGUAGCCAUGGUGAAAAUACAGAUUUCUGGGUUGCAGCCAUGGAGAUUUGAGCUGAUUUACAGUGCUGUAGUGGGGGUAGUUGAAGCCCCCCCAAAGUUGGGACUACUGCAACAGGAUCUUUCCACCCAAAACCAAAAACAAGAACAACAAACUCAGGUGGAACAUGAAACUCAUCACUCUCUCUCUUCCUUCGACUCGGGUUUUCUCUCUUCUUCCUCAAACCUGCGACAAAUAGAAAAACCCCCAAUUUAACAGAGAAAACUCUAGAUGCAGAAAGUUUGAGAAGUAGAAAACCAAAAAACCAUAAUUGUAAUUAAGUUAUUGAUGAAUGGGCAACCUUCUUAGCAAUUAAUUUUUUGAUGUCCACAAUGAGAGUUCCAGCAGCGUCAGAGAGUAGAGAAGGAAAUGAAGGAAAUAGAGUUCACAGAAUGGAGAAGAAAAAAGGGGCAAAAGACCGUCAAUUUGUAAAAUAAGUGAGGGUAUUACGGGAAAGUUAAAAGUUCAUUAAAACAACCGGUUAAAUUUUUUUUGAAGCAGCUUUUAAAAGCUUGGUAGAGACGGCUUCGAAAAAACAGCGAUCAUUGACUGCGAUUUUAAAAAAAAGCAGGAUUCCUGAUGUUUUCCAAACACCCAACUCAUGAAAUUUUUUUAUUAAAGCUGCUUUUUAAGAAAAUUAAACGCUGCCAAACACCACCUUAACCAUUUUCUUUGCGUGUGCCAAAUUUAUAAUUUUGACCAGUGUCAUGCAGGAAAAUGUUUCAUGCUUUGUUAACAGGGGGCUUUCGAUGAGUAUUUUAUUUAGAUGAAAAGUGAUUCAUUCCUUUCCUUUAUGGAUUCAUCUUGUUAGGUUGAUCUAUUGAAGAAUGAGCUUGGAUUUGAUGAGGCUUUUAACUAUAAAGAAGAGGCUGACUUGAAUGCGGCUUUCAAAAGGUGCAUAUGAGUAAUGAUAGAGAGAUUACAUUUAUAAACCCUAGCGGACCAUGAAUAUAAUGAGUCUUAAAUCUAUUAGACAAUUGGUUAGUUGACAGGUGGUAUACAAAGCAGUCUACAAAUGUGAUCUCCCUAUCAUUUUCCGUAAAAUACAUAUUUAUUAUGUUAUACUAGUUUCCUUUAGUAAGAAAAGAAAGGAAAAAAACUAUUAUUAAGAAUUUGUGUGUUGUUAGGGUUCAUCAUUGGGCUGGGCCAACUCAAAAAUUUUGGGUUCGAGCCGAGCCCUCAUGGGCCGAAAUGGGCCAGACUUUUUGUUAAAAAGUCUUUUCAAUCUUUUUGUUACACAUUUCGUUUUUUCAAAAGUGAUGGAUAUAGAGUAUUCUCUUAAACAAUAGUAUAGAUUACUACAUAAUUUAAGAAAACAAAAAUAUAAUAGCCAAACUUUUUUACUAAACCUAGACCAAUAACCAAUAUAUUUAAAAAAUAUUAUACCUAAAAAUGAAUCUUAUGAUGUGCAAUUUGUGCCUUAAUUAACUUAUAUCCCAAAUUAGGAUUGACAUCAUGAAAAUUAAAGCAAUUUGUGCCUUUAAAAUUAAUAAACCCAGAAUAAGCUUUCAAAUUCUUUAUUGAACCGUUAAAUUUGAACUUGACAAAAAAGGGGCACUAAGAGAUAUAGUGCAUAUAUUGCUUGUUUGUUACAAAAUUUUAGACAACAUUGAAAAAAUUAACUUAAUUUAUAACAUGUGUAAACAAAAUAAAAAGUUUAUUAGUUUAUCAUACAUAUUACAUUAUUUUGAUUAAGUAUAAAAUGAGGUUAGGGAAUGCAUCAAUUAAUCUUAAAAAAAUGAAAAGCAUAAGCGGGCGGGCCGAGCGGGCCUAACCAUCUUGCUAGGCUGGACUUUGACCCAUCAAGCCUCGGACUACCCACUUCGGAGCCGCGGGCCAAAUGAUGAUCCCUAUAUGUUGUAUAUGAUGCUUUGAAGCUUGAGCUUUCUUGAGUGAAGGAUAAAUUUUCUUUGUAAUUACCAUACACUUGCCAGGUAUUUCCCUGAAGGCAUUGAUAUUUACUUUGAGAAUGUUGGAGGCAAAACGCUAGACGCAGUGCUCCUCAACAUGAGAGUCCAUGGCCGCAUUGCUGUAUGUGGAAUGAUCUCACAGUACAAUCUUGAUCAAGCAGAAGGGGUAACAAAUUUGAUGCACCUUGUGUAAAAACGUAUCCGCCUCCAUGGAUUUUCGGUAAGAGAUCACUAUCACAUCCAUCCGAAAUUCGUGGAGUUUAUGCUGCCUUACAUUAGGCAAGGAAAGAUUGUUUAUGUGGAAGACAUAGUUGAAGGCCUUGAGAGUGGUCCAAGAGCGCUGGUUGGACUUUUUAAGGGUCUUAACUUUGGAAAACAAGUAGUUGACGUCUCUGCAUGAAUAAGUUGUUUUGUCAAUCGAUUUGGUGUGCUUGUGUUUCUAACCACUAUAACUUUGUUAAGUGGCUCUUUGGUUUUAUUUUUAUGUUUUUGGAUCCUUUUUGGGAUUGCAUAUGUUAAGUGGUGCACUUUGUCAUACAGAAGAUAUUCAUCAAUAAUAAGGGCUAAUUCAGGAUUGUUGUCACUUUUAAAAAAAGAUGCUUCUGUUGUGUUUUGGAAAUAAUAAGCUGUAAAGUAGUUCCAUGCGUGUUAAACAAUAUUUUUAAAGUGUUGUUAGUAUAAAAAGUUAUGUCAAAACCGUUUGGUAAAUUUUGAUAUAAAACUAGUAACUGUUGAUAAUGACUAAAACAUACAUGAUAUGUCGAAAGUGUUACGUGGUAACCAUAUGGUGGUGGUGGCGGUGGUGGUAUAGGUGGAGGUUGAGUUGGUGGUGGUGGUGGAGGUGGAGGUGGUGGUGAGGCGUGCUACGGGCACCAACUUAAAUACUAAUUUAAUGAUACCAACCUAUGUGGCAUAUGACAUGACAAUUUAUGUCAUAUGCCACAUCAUUUUUUUUAUUAGUUAAGUUUUAACAAUUUUUUGUCAGAAUUAACUUAAUUAUUUAGUUUUAAAUAAAUAAAUUCUGCUCCACGCCUCCCUUCCUUCUCGGAUCUACUACCAUGGCCUCCUUCCUCCCCAACUUGUAUGCCCUUAUUAUUACGCACAUUGAAUUUGGCUUUCGGGGUGUGACAUAUUUUUACCAAUCCCAUGAAGCUUUUCUUAUCUUUGAAUGCUUGAGUGCUAACCAUUGUGUGUUUCCCUUGCUUUAGGAAGAUUGCCUCACUCAGCAAGAAUGCAUGGUGAGGUGUUUGUGAAUGGUGCAAAAUCGGUACAUGUACAUGGCCACGACACCGAUAUAUAAAUGAGAAGAGAAUUCCUUGGUCAGUAUCAAUAUUGCGAAACUGUUGCAGCAUUGAAGGGUUGUGUGAACUCCUCGAUUUCAAGCGAAGUCGAAUAUUGCUUGAUGUGGAAGAUGGCUCAAACUAAUAAAAAUGAGGAAAACGGAUCAUACCAACAAAAAUAUGGCAGAUGGCCAGAAUCAAUAUAACCGUGGUCAGAUUUGGGAAGUGAGGCCAUGGCAGAUUCGGAGAGGGAGGGAGGCCAUGGCAGAUCUAUAAAGGAAUGGAGAAACAGAUCACACCUCUUCCCUUCUCCUCAUACCACAACUCAUCAUACACACCCAAUCGAUUUUGAAAUAUUACAUAAAAGUUGUGAUGGCGCUGGAACUGCAGAUUCAGAACGUUUUUUAUAUGCUUCCCACAAGCAGUCAGACAAACCCUUAGAGGACGAGUGACAUCAUUACCUUCUCAACUUACCAAAGAAAGAACUCCUUCCGAAGUGGUAACCACUUGCCGAUGCUCCCAACUACAGAACCAAGUUUCCAUGGACACGUGUCACCUCCACAAUAGUUUGCACAAAGUCCGACAUUGAAACUUUGUGCAAAACUCCCAUUUUCAGGGAACAGUACCUAAGGAAAAGGGGUAACUACUUUUCACAUUUACUGUUACUCUGCCAAAAUUACCACAUAUACUCGCUGACUUAAGUAUUGGAGAGUCUUCGGCAGGUACCACACCAGUGUCCGAAGCUUGACGAUCCCUUCUUCCUUGUUUUCUUAUGCAAGAUCCCUCCAUACCGAAGGUCCACAACCUUCUCCCUUGCUGAAGAUUUAACACUCCUUUAUCUAAGUUAACCCUCCGAAAAAGAGCAUCAACACGCGCAGCACUCAUUAUCUUUCAACAAUCUGAUUAUCUUAUACUAGUUAAUUUAUGGGUUGUUUGAUAACAAUUUCAAUUUUAAUUUUUAGUUUUCAUUUUCAUUUUUUUUGAAAACUGAAAACAUGUUUGGUAUUAGAUUUCGUUUUCAAAUUAAAAAAAAAGUGAAAUCUAGUUUUCAAAAUCACCUUUUUUUUAAAAAACAACUUGGAAGUGUUUUAUGUUUUUUUUUUAUGUUUUUUUUUUUUUUUUUUUUUUUUUUGUGCACUAUUGUUUGUUGGAGUGUUAGUUGACUUUCUUUGCACACCAAGGUUUCCCAUAUUAACUCAUGCAUAGAUUGGAAUUGAUUUCCUACUCUAAAUAGUAUUAGAAGUUAUUAAUUACCUUACUUAGCCUUCAAGGAAUAUUGUAUUAUAAAUAUGGCCUUCUACAAGGAGAAGAAUACACAGAAAAUUCUCACCACAAUUACUCUUUCGUAAUUUUAGCAUUAUUUCAUUCAUAAGUUUCACAUCACCACACAUGAAAUGCACUCCGGUUACCAAAAGUCGGUAUUUGGGACCUCCCAACUUGGACUUGGUCGCUCAAUUCGUGCUUUUGGCCACAAUCCCAAUCCAAACCUCGUCAACUCCAUGUCCAAAGGUCACUAAAAAAUAAUCAUAAUUUUAAAAAAUUCACCAAAAAAUAUUACGAAUUUUUUGUCAUUCCUGCUUUAACUUUACCUUUUGUUUUCAAAUGUUGACCCGUCCCAACCCAACUCUCAAUGCUCGAAGGGUUCUUUCGUGUAGUUAAGAGUUGGGUUUUCCAAGGUAGGUCUAUAUUGAUUCGAACAACUUUGCGGUAUAUCUGUGGGUAAGAUACUGUUCUCAAAGUAGUAAAGGCUGAACUAAAAGGCUAAAUGGGAAAAUGAAUACUUUCUUUUCUCUUCCUCAAGAAACAUACAUCCUCACCACAAGAGAGGGAGAGUUGCUUGGUAUUUUGUUAAAUAAAAUAAAAUAAUUAAUAAUUGAAAAUAGAAAAUGUUUGAAAAGGAUAUUGGGAAUAAAGAGAGAAGAUGCGGGUGUGAGUAAAAUAACAAUAAAAGAAAAUUAAAUCAAAAAUAAAAAAAUAAAAAAAUAAUUAAGUUUUGGGGAGUAGAAAUCGGGAUGGAGGGGGGAGAGAGAGGUUUUUUUUUAAAAAUUUUUUAUUCGUAUUUUAAUCAAUUUUGAUAUUGUUGAGGCCCAAAAAAGUUACGGGAAGCCCAAAGACAUUUAAAGCCCAAUAUAACAUAUAUUCUCAGUCAUGCGUUAAUCCAAGCUGUAAUUCGGAUUUAAUUCAUUAAAUAAAUAUAAAAUAGUGUACAUGUCAUGCUAAACUAAUAAUACAUUUUCCCCAUGCUAAUCACCUAUCAAGCUCACAUGAACCCAAGUCAUGUGAUUUACGGGCUUGCAUGAGGGAUUGUGGUGUGGAAGGUUACGGAGGUCCACAAGGCCCACGGAAGCUCUUGGAUAACAGAGACUUUGGGCUAGCUACUUGAGAGCACCAAAGUCCAAGCCCAUUACUUAGAGUUCUCCAAUGUGGGUGAGCAAAUGAGACAUUUUUCAAGCACUGCCUUUUACCUAUAGGAAAUAGUCAUUUUCCAAAUACCAAGCUUUACCCGUUGGAAACAAGCAUUUUCCAGCACUUCCUAUUACCCAUUGGAAACAAGCAGUUUCCAGUGCUUCCUUUUACCAAUAGGAAAAAAUCUGUUUAUGAUACCUAGCUUUACCUAUUGGAAAAUAGCAUGUCCUAGUCCUCCCUUUUAACCAUUAGAAAUAGGUUGGUUCCAAUACCUCCCUUUACCUAUUGGAAAUAAAGGAAAACCCUCACCCUCUAUAAAUUGGCACUCAUGGCUCAAGCAAAAGGCACCAAUUUUUCUUCAGCCAAUACUUCCUCACUCGGCUACUGCAAGCAUCCCAGCAGCCACCAACCCCCAUAAAGCAUCACCUAGCUCCAAGCUUUUCCUUCCUUCCAAGCUUUAAACACCAUAGCCUUUAAACCUCAAGCUUUUCCUUCCAUCCUCCUUCUCUUGAAACUCUUAAAUCCCCAUAGCCAUAGCCACACACAACAAAUUAUCAACACCAAACUCAAACAUAUCCAACACCAAGCCAAGCACAUGCAUUCUCAUUUGCUAAACUUGUGGGUCUUUAGCUCCUACACUCCAAGCUCUCAUGCUAAGCUCACAUAAUCUCAUACCAACAUCAGCAAGUCAUCUUCAACUCUUCGUCGAGCUGCCGAAAACAUCAACACAAAACAUGCAGCCGUUGGAAGAAGAACAAAGUACUCUCCCGGGACUUGCUUUUCCCUUGGGACACUUUGGGCCUAGUUCUCGCUAACUCAGAUAAAGGAACAACGAAGUCUUCAUUCAUCACUCUAUGGCGACCCAAGAAUCAACAAAGCCCGGAUGAGCCUUCGAACGAAAGUGACCACAUGCAAAGCUCAAGCUUCAAUAGCCAAGCCCAAGCUUUUGGUUCCUAAAAACAUGCUUACGACAGCUGCAACAAACAAUACCUAAGUCACCAUAAGUGAUAUGCCCCAGCGUCUCAAGCACUUUCUAUGCCCUGACAAUUCUAAUGAUCAAGUUUUAGAGUCAAACCAAAAGGCCAUUGGGAUGUCUCAAUUGCCACAAUUCCAUAAUCAAUCAUCAUCAAGCCUCAAGCCUUAUUCAAGAAAUCCAAGCACUAUUCUUUACUCAAGAAGGAAAACAUCUCAGUUCGUGGCAAAUAGAAGGAAAAUACUACGAAGGUACCGGAAGAACCUAAACACUGUCAAGAUGAAGUUUCCUUUACCAAGCAAUCAAAAUUUUUGAAGUGAUGUCAAGCUAUCAAGAAAAAGAGUAAAGUCACUAUGCAACACAACAACCAAAAUAUGCUUGUAGUAACCAAGAUUCAAGCCAAGCAAAAUGUGGAAGAUAAUGAUGCGUUGUAUGAAAUGCUCCUGGAAGAUAACACAAGCCCUAUAGUCAUGCUGCCGGAAGAGUGAACCAUCAUGCCACUAAAUUUGAAAGAGGAGCCCCAUAUCUGAGUACUGGAAGGCAGCGCAGUGGACUCCAAAACUAAGAUCUAGUCCAAGUGACUUAAGGCCUCCAUAUUGCAAUGCUUAUUUGCCAACACCUAUACCGCUUUCAAGCUACUGCAGACACUAUCAUGCUCAAAUCCUUAAGCAUCUCCCAUUGUAUUUUCAUCUUCUAAUCUACCAAAGCCCUCAUGAUUGACCAAGCUAUAUCUUGAUUCAACUCCACCCACUUGCUCUUUACAGCAGCCCAGGCCCAUCUGUAGCUGCCGGAACAAAAAAGCCCCAACGUAAAUGACAAAACCGAAACACUAAAGCACAUCCACCAUGCUAAAUAGCCCAAAAGCUAUAUUAAACCACGACACUUUAGCCAAUACCAAGCGUACAAGCCAAUGCCCAGCAUCCAAGCAUACAAGCCAAAGCUUAGCGUACAAGCCAAUACUAAGCAUACAUGCCAAUGCCAAGCAUACACACCAAUGCCAAGCAUCCAAGCCAAUACCAAGCGUACAAGACAAAGCCAAGCAUACAAGUCAAUACCAAGCAUACAUGCCAAUGCUACGCGUAUACGCCAAUGCCAAGCAUCUAAGCCAAUACCAAGCAUACAAGCCAAAGCCAAGCGUACAAGCCAAUACCAAGCAUAUAUGAGCCCAAGAUCAAGCGUACAUGCCAAUGCCAAGCAUCCAAAUCAAAUACUAAGAAUACAUGUCAACAUCAAGCAUACAUGCCAACACCAAAUAUACACGUAAAAACCAAGGAAGCAAGCACGGAUGUUUCAUGCAUAUUGAAGAACCAGCCAUGUCAUGCCACUGCCAAUUAUUUUGGGCUGAAAUAGAUUAUUGGGCCCAUCUCACUGCCACUUCAUAGCCCCAAUAAUCAAGGGGGCUAAUGUUGAGGCCCAAAAAAGUUACGGGAAGCUCAAAGACAUUCAAAGCCUAAUAUAACCUAUAAUGUCACUCAUGCGUUAAUCCAAGCUGUAAUUUGGAUUUAAUUCAUUAAAUAAAUAUAGAAAUAGUGUACAUGCCAUACCAAAAUAAUAAUACAUUUUUUCCAUGCCAAUCACCUAUCAAGCUCACAUGAACCCAAGUCAUGUGGUUUAUGGGGCUUGCAAGAGGGAUUGUGGUGUGGAAGGUUACGGAGGUCCACAAGGUUCAUGGAAGCUCUUGAAUAAUGGAGACUUUGGGCUAGCUACUUGGGAGCACCAAAGUCCAAGCCCAUUACUUAGAGUUCUCUAAUGUGGGUGAGCAAAUGAGACAUUUUUUAAGCACUUCCUUUUAUCCAUAGGAAAUAGUCAUUUUCCAAAUAUCUAGCUUUACCCGUUGGAAACAAGCCUUUUCCAGCACUUCCUAUUACCCACUGGAAAUAAGCAGUUUCUAUUACUUCCUUUUACCAAUAGGAAAUAAUCUGUUUAUGGUACUAGCUUUACCUGCUGGAAAAUAGUAUGCCCUAGUGCUCCCUUUUAACCAUUAGAAAUAGGUUGGUUCCAGUACCUCCCUUUACCUAUUGGAAAUAAAGGAAAACCCUCACUCUCUAUAAAUUGGCACUCAUGGCUCAAGUAAAAGGCACCAAUUUUUCUUCAGCCAACACUCCCUAACUCAGCUGCUGCAAGCAUCCCAGCAGCCACCAACCCCCAUAAAGCAUCACCUAGCUCCAAGCUUUUCCUUCCUUCCAAGCUUUAAACACCAUAGCCUUCAAACCUCAAGCUUUUCCUUCCAUCAUCUUUCUCUUGAAACUCUUAAAUCCCCAUAGCCAUAGCCACACACAACAAAUUAUCAACACCAAACUCAAACAUAUCCAACACCAAGCCAAGCACAUGCAUUCUCAUUUGCUAAACUUGUGGGUCUUUAGCUCCCACACUCCAAGCUCUCAUGCCAAGCUCAUAUAAUCUCAUACCAACAUCAGCAAGUCAUCUUCAACUCUUCGUCGAGCUGCCGAAAACAUCAACGCAAAACACGCAGCCGAUGGAAGAAGAACAAAGUACUCUCCCGAGACUUGCUUCUCCCUCGGGAUACUUUGGGCCUAGUUCUCGCUAACUCAGACAAAGGGGCAACGAAGUCUUCAUUCAUCACUCUAUGGCGAUCCAAGAAUCAACAAAGCCCGGAUGAGCCUUCGGACGAAAAAGACCCCAACAGAUAUAAAAAUACCAUUUUUCCCCUGCAGUUAACAGAAAAGUUAACAGCCGGACCAUUUGUCCUAACGAAACUGAAGUUGAAGAACUACGGGAACCAUUUUGAAAAUUGAGGUACUCAAAUACAAAUCGGGUCUAAGUUCAGGGAUUAAUAAAACAAUUAACCCCUGAGUUUAUAAUGCUCGAGAGUAUAUAGGAAGAGGACACUCCAACUGGCAGCUAUGGAGGAGGCCAAGACUAGUAGUGUCUAUUCUGUGAAAGCUAACUUUGCUUUCUUAUUAUCCACAACUUAGAUAUAUCAAUGGCUUCUUGCAAGAACCUCAAUUCUUUAUGAACUUUCUGCCCUAAAAUGCUUUAUCUAAUAGCUCAGACAAUGGUGAAAGAAAAAAAAUUGUUGUUGGAAUCUUAGCAUAAUAAUAUUUUCCAGCCAAAAUCAGUUGUUAGAUUCUCCAACAGCACAAUCUCUUUUCGCAAUCACAUACUAGUCAAUCCUACAGAGCAUAAGAUCCUACUUUGAGGGGUGGAAAGGAAUGAAUUCAACUCACCACUAUUAUGACCAAGGCAAUAAUUUUCAUUUCCAUCACAUGAUUCUAGGUGACCCACAACUCCAUACCACCAACCUGCAAUAUAUACAGAAAAUCCUAUCAAGCAAUGGACAAUGGGAAAUUAAUUAAUUUCACCUUUUAUUUAAGUUUCUGCAUAUUAAACGAAUCUACUUUCAUUAUAUAUUUAAGGGAAAUGUAAGCCUUUUUUUUCGUUCUUUACCCUUUUUUUUCCUCACCUUAAUGGGGCUUGAGGAUGUUUGAAUUGUUCGCUAGAACUACUUUCAUUAUCUAUUUGAGGCAUACUUCAUGAACCACAUGGAUUCUAGGAAGUGAUAUAGACCUUUGUUUCUUUCAUUUGAGCCCUUCUAGCCAACCCGUAUCACUUUUAUCCCUUGUUAAUCACCUUGUGCCUUUUAUGUAAGCCUUUUUUUUCGUUCUUUACCCUUUUUUCCUCACCUUAAUCUAUCAUAUGUUACCCUUCUAAGGAGUUUUGUACAGUAUUUUCGUUGUUAAGGGAGAAUUGCACAACAAUCAUGUGGAAAGUAAAGGAUACUAUUUCCAAAAAAAAAACCUAAUUUCAAACCCUUUUCAACUCGAGUUAUUGAGCCCUAUGAGUGUUUUACAUUUAAUUUCGUAAAGCUAUGUAGCUUGGGAGUCAUUGGCCUAACACUCGCUGCAUGGGUUGAUUAGAAAGCUAAUGAAGAGUUAGAAAAAAAAAUUGUGAAAAAUAAAUAAAUUUCAAGACAGUAUCAAUAUGAAGUUGCGUGCUCAAAGUGCAAGAUGUUAUAAUUUUCAUGGAAAGCUCUAUGAAUUCCUUAGAAUUUGUUCAUCCAUAUCUUUUUCUUGUUUCACCCGUCACUCUAAGCCCCAUUACAACCUUAUUUGAAGACUAUUCUGCUAUUUUCUCAAGGCGUGCAAUAUAUGACUGGAAAGAUAAGAUAAAGACCUACAAUUUACAUAUUUUUUCAGAAUUUUCUCGGAGGAGGAAUGAUUCCAAACGUGGGUGCAAAGUAACUAACGUGUUAUCCUAGUCCAAGUAGGAAGAUGAGUCAAUUACUUACCCAUUUUGGAUUUAAGUUUUAAUUAGCUGUUUCUUUAUUUUUGGGCUGUUGUAAAAGGCCAGCUAAGGUAGGAAUAGACGUGUGGCAUUUUAUUUAAGCAUGAGACAACUCCUUUGGGAAGACGCAAAGACUAGGAGAAAUUGGAGACGCCGGAAGAGUACCACAAUUGGCUAAGUUUUAUUGUUUCUUCCUUAUGUUUUUGUUUAUGUCAAAUUCUAUGAUUAUGUGUAACUAAUUUUAUUUUGCUAGGGCAUGAUGUAUGCCUAGUAUGAUAAUCUAGUUUUCUUAUUUUACCUAUCUAUUGAUUGCAGUUUGAUGUUAGAUUCUUAAUCACUGUGCUUAGUACCUUAGUUGAUUACCUUGAUGCUUGAUCACCAUCUAGACUUUUAAUUGAGUUAAUCGGAUGCGAAUUAGAGUAAAUACCAUACUUAAUUUGAGGUUUGCUUCUUGUGAUUAGAAUUUGUAAUUUGUCUAAAGUAAAUACCAUACUCCUAGAAUUUACAUGCUUGUUGGAGGUUUUCACUGAUUUCAAUAUUUUCCCGACAUGUGAUGCCAACAACAUAGAUGUUUCAAUGUUUCACUAUGGAAGCAAUCACGUAAGGAUUAACAUGGCAGGACAUCAGACAUGAGAAACUAAGAAGAGAGAGAGAGAGAGAGAGAGAGACUUGCCAUUCAAGCAAGAGAAGGCCAUAACACUAUAUAGCAAUAGCACCGUAAAAUAAGAUGCAAAGAAUGAGGGGGUCAUGUUUUCAAGUACCAAAACACGCAAGGGCAUUUUGGUAAAGUACAUCUGAAAAUAAAUCAAGGCAAGCAAAGCCGUAGAUAUCCUCUUCCUGCUACACAUAGUAUUAGCCUACGUAAGGUCAUUACGGCGCCGUUUCCCUUUUUAAUUGGCGUAGUUCAACUCAUCAUCCACCCAAGUUCAUUUCGUUCAAAGCUAUAAAUAACCCCUCAAACCAUUCAACUUUCCCACCACCACUCCUCACUCCUUCAACUCAUUAACCUCUCUCUCUCUCUCUCUCUCUCUCUCUCUCUCUCUCAUCCGCAAAUGGCGAACCGUAGAAGCCUCUUUUCUCUCUCACUUAUCUUUGUGUUCAUGAUCAACUCAGCCAUAGCCACUCCAGUCACAUACAAUGUGGCCAGUUUAGGAGCCAAAGCAGAUGGCAAGACUGACUCCACAAAAGCCUUCCUCUCUGCAUGGGCUAAAGCUUGUGCCUCGAUGAAUCCCGGUGUCAUUUAUGUGCCGGCAGGAACGUUCUUUCUUCGCGAUGUGGUGUUCAGUGGGCCUUGCAAGAACAAUGCCAUCACCUUCCGCAUUGCCGGAACCCUUGUGGCCCCGUCGGAUUACCGGGUCAUCGGUAAUGCAGCUAACUGGAUUUUCUUUCACCAUGUAAACGGGGUUACCAUAUCAGGUGGAAUUCUUGACGGCCAAGGCACGGCCUUGUGGGCUUGCAAGGCCUCUCAUGGCGAGAGUUGUCCCAGCGGAGCAACGGUAAUUAAUUCACUACUUUAAAUAUCAUAUUCAUGACACCAUUAAAUAUCAAAUUCAUGACACCAUUAUUUUGUGCUUCAUUAUUAGUGAGAAUUUUAAAGGUCAACGUACGUACAAUUUGCUUUAUUAUUUGCUACCAAUUGAAUUGAGGGUUUAUAAAAUAAGUUCAAACUCCACAGAACGUAAUCAAAUGGACAUGAUAAAUUGUACCACAAGUUUAGCUUGAUCAAGUAAUUUCGUAAUAUGUGCAGACUUUGGGUUUUUCCGACUCAAACAACAUCGUGGUGAGUGGAUUGGCAUCCCUAAACAGCCAAAUGUUCCAUAUAGUCAUCAACGACUGCCAAAAUGUGCAAAUGCAAGGUGUCAGGGUUUCUGCUUCCGGUAAUAGCCCUAACACCGAUGGCAUUCAUGUCCAAAUGUCAUCUGGUGUCACAAUCCUCAACUCCAAGAUUGCAACCGGUGACGAUUGUGUCUCAAUUGGCCCCGGAACCUCAAAUUUGUGGAUAGAAGGCGUUGCUUGUGGACCUGGCCAUGGAAUUAGGUACGACAUCAAAAUUAUAUAUUUAUCCAUGAUUGAUUAAACUAGCUAAAUGCAUACUAUUUCAUAAUAUAUGUUAUAAUGUAUAUCUUUUUUCUUCAUUGCUUAAUGACAUUUGAACUUAGGACAUCUUUCAAUAAAGUGGAGAUUAAUUGAUUGCUAGUAGAGAUUCAUUGCCUACAAAAAGUAUAUCUUUCUUUUGGGUGGAUGUUCUAGUUGUAAAUUUAACAUUGCUUUACUUGAUGGUUCAGCAUUGGAAGUCUAGGCAAGGAGCAAGAAGAGGCCGGUGUACAAAAUGUAACAGUUAAAACGGUUACCUUUAGUGGUACUCAGAAUGGUCUAAGAAUCAAGUCAUGGGGGAGGCCAAGCACUGGGUUUGCUAGAAAUAUUCUUUUCCAACAUGCUACAAUGGUCAAUGUCGAAAAUCCUAUUGUCAUAGAUCAACAUUAUUGCCCCGACAACAAAGGGUGCCCUGGUCAGGUAAGAUAUCAUUCAUGCUCUAAAAAUCAGUUCCCAAAGUUUAAUAUUACAACUCAAUUUUCUCUUCUUCACAUUGAUAAAAACGUUGGCAUCACCAAAUUAUAACUGUCUAAGUUCGAAACAUAUCAAAAGCUUUCUUGGGCUUCCACCUAGAAGAGCCAAUAAUUUUAGGCCCAAAGCAAAUCCAAUAACUCCUUCCUCCAUGGGCUUGCUCUCCUACUACUUACAAAGAUCGAGCCUUGCUCAUUGUAACCUUUGUAACUUAUUAAUGGAAUUGAGGGUUGUAGCUCAAGUGGUUAACAACAUUUACUCUGGUAUUCGAAGUCCUAGAUUUAAUUCCCCUCUUUUCCAAUACCAUUUUUAUCAAAAUGACUUCAUCGUAGCUUAGCCAAAAAAGCAUUGAAUCCCAUUAAGCCGAAUUCCCAUGCUAUAAUACUUGUUCACCUUCUGUUUUAUCAAAAGCUGGAAAUCUGACUUCGUAUUGUUUUUUUUUUCUUUUGUCAAUUUUGUUUUUCAAUAGGUUUCCGGAGUUCAAAUUAGCGAUGUGACAUACGAAGACAUACACGGUACAUCAGCAACAGAAGUUGCAGUAAAAUUUGAUUGCAGUCCCAAGCACCCUUGCAGCGAGAUCAAAUUGGAGGAUGUGAAGCUUACUUACAAGAACCAAGCAGCUGAGUCUUCAUGUAGCCAUGCAGAUGGAACAACUGAGGGUGUGGUUCAGCCUACAAGUUGUUUGUAGAGUGGAAAAAUAUGAACUGCUUGUAGAAGUAUUGAAAUCCAAAAGUUUGCCCUCCAGUACUAAGGACAAAUGAAAAGUGAAUUAUACGAUUUAUAGGAAGAAUAAGCUUGUGGCGUUGGCAGCCUAUUUCGGCUCCCUUGAUCCUGGCCGUUCAAUUAGUUUAGUUUGUUCAAACUCGUCCACUUCGAUGGGUGUUUAUGUUAUAUGAACUGUUGUAAGAUUAUGUCCGGAAGACGUUAAAUUUACAAGAUUAAAUUUUAUUUUGAUGGCUGAUGUGGCAUUUGACAUAGAAUUCAAUAUUCUAUCAAUUUAAUUCACAAUUUUAUUAUAAUCGGAAGCACACAUUAAAUAGUAAAAAUUUGGUUCAAGAAACAAAAGGAUUUCAACACUCGCAUGAACUUUUUGGUUGGAGCAUUUUCUCAUGCCAAAUUUUACCCGUUAAAAAUUUAUUAUGGUAUUUUGACAUUUUGGUUGGAGCAUUUUCUCAUGUCAAAUUUUACCCGUUAAAAAUUUACUAUGAUAUUUUAACAUUUCGAUUGGAGAUGUAUAAAUGUUAAAUAUGCAUUGAUUCAAGAUGCAUUUUUGUUUCUUAUUCUUGAGCUUUGAGCUUUAGGUAAUUAACUUGAAUGCUGUUGGGCACCUUGCACUAGUUGAUUAAAGAAAAAUAGACCCGAAGCAAGAUUCCUUGUAGUUGCCAAUUCGAAGUUUUCUUUAUCGCUACAUACUUACUGGUCUACAACUUCUCUCUCUAAUACAUAAUUUGACAUAAAUAAAUACAAUGAAGAGUGCAUUGACUAAACAAAACAAAACAAAAAAGCAGCACGUAAGCACUUACGUGCAUUUGGUGUAAAAGCUAAAGGCCUCUGAUUUAUGUAAGCAGUUACGCUAAUCAUAUUAUAUUAUAUGUAUCUUGGCUCUGUAAUUGUAACGGAAAUAACACUGUUUUGUUAUUCUCAACCAAUAACACAAUGAUACGUGGAAAAGUUAUUUCACGUGUCAUUGCGUUAUUGGUUGAGAUAUAUCUUUCCCUUUCAAUUUUUGUAAACAUAUAUACCAAAUGUUAUGCUCAAAUAUAUAUUAAUUGUUAGACAUUGUUACCUUAAAAAAAAAAAUGUAUUGCAAAAUACAAGUUUGAUCAUAUGAUUAAUUUAAUUUUGUUGGUGUAAACGUGCAGCCAAUAUAUGGGUAUGGAGUCUCUGGGCACCCAGAUUUGAAGGCAGGUGACUUAGUUUGGGGGACUACCUAUUGGGAAGAGUACAGCCGAAUCCCUGAACCCGAAGGCCUGAUCAAAAUCCAGCACACUGAUGUACCUCUAUCCUAUUAUACUGGAAUUCUUGGUAACAAGUCAAACCUAUUUUAGAUCAUGAUGAUAUGUGUUGGUUUAGAUACGUAAGUGUAUUUUUUGUAAUUUCAUUUCAGGUAUGCCUGGUUUGACCGCUUAUGUUGGUUUCUAUGAAAUUUGUUCUCCUAAGAAAGGAGAACAUGUCUUCAUUUCAGCAGCAGCUGGUGCUGUUGGUCAGCUUGUUGGACAAUUUGCAAAAUUAAUGGGUUGUUAUGUUGUUGGAAGUGCUGGCAGUAAGGAAAAGGUACGAACUUGAGAAAUCUUUGAACUUCAAAUUAAUAUUAUCUACACCAUUUUUUCUUGUUUGGGUUGUAUUUUGCCGUUGUUAUUUGGGCCAACUUUGGUGUUGGUUUGGGUUGGGGCUUCUGUUUGUGUUGUUGAAUUGGGUCUUUUAGUUGUUUUUGUAAACUCUGACUUAACCAUUUUCUUUGCGUGUGCUAAAUUUAUAAUUUUGACCAGUGUCACGCAGGAAAUGUUUCAUGCUUUGUUAACAGGGGACUUUAGAGGAGUAUUUUAUUCAGAUGAAAAGUGAUUCAUUCCUUUCCUUUAUGGAUUCAUCUUGUUAGGUUGAUCUAUUGAAGAAUGAGCUUGGAUUUGAUGAGGCUUUUAACUAUAAAGAAGAGACUGACUUGAAUGCGGCUUUCAAAAGGUACAUAUGAGUAAUGAUAGAGAGAUUAGAUUUAUAAACCCUAGCGUACCAUGAAUACAAUGAGUUUCAACUCUAUUAGACAAGUUGUUAUUUGACAGGUGGUAUACAAAGCAAUCUAUAAAUGUGAUCUCCCUAUUAUUUUUCGUAAAAUACAUAUUUAUUAUGUUAUACUAGUUUCCUUUAGUAAGAAAAGAAAGGAAAAAAACGAUUAUAAAGAAUUUGUGUGUUGUCAGGGUUCGUUAUUCGACUGGGCCAACUCAAAAAUUUUGGGUUCGAGUCGAGCCCUCAUGGGCCUAAAUGGGCCAGACUUUUUGUUUUAGAAAGUCUUUUAAAUCUUUUUGUUACACAUUUCAUUUUUUCAAAAGUGAUGGAUAUAGAGUAUUCUUUUAAACAAUAGUAUAGAUUACUACAUAAUUUAAGAAAACAAAAAUAUAAUGGCCAAACUUUUUUACUAAACCUAGACCAAUAACCAAUAUAUUUAAAAAAUAUUAUACCUAAAAAUGAAUCUUAUAAUGUGCAAUUUGUGCCUUAAUUAACUUAUAUCCCAAAUUAGGAUUGACAUCAUGAAAAUUAAAGCAACUUGUGCCUUUAAAAUUAAUAAACCCAGAAUAAGCUUUCAAAUUCUUUAUUGAACCAUUAAAUUUGAACUUGACAAAAAAGGGGCACUAAGAGAUAUGGUGCAUAUAUUGCUUGUUUGUUACAAAAUUUUAGACAACAUUGAAAAAAUUAACUUAAUUUAUAAUAUGUGUAAACAAAAAAAAAAAAAAAAAAAAAAGCAUAAGGGGGCGGGCCUAACCAUCCUGUUAGGCCGGACUUUGGCCCAUCAGGCCUCGGACUACCCACUUCGGGGCCGCGGGCCAAAUGAUGAUCCUUAUAUGUUGUAUAUGAUGCUUUGAAGCUUGAGCUUUCUUGAGUGAAGAAUAAAUUUUCUUUGUAAUUACCAUACACUUGUCAGGUAUUUCCCUGAAGGCAUUGAUAUUUACUUUGAGAAUGUUGGAGGCAAAACGCUAGACGCAGUGCUCCUCAACAUGAGAGUCCAUGGCCGCAUUGCUGUAUGUGGAAUGGUCUCACAGUACAAUCUUGAUCAAGCAGAAAGGGUAACAAAUUUGAUGCACCUUGUGUACAAACGUAUCCGCCUCCAUCGAUUUUCGGUAAGAGAUCACUAUCACCUCCAUCCGAAAUUCGUGGAGUUUAUGCUGCCUUACAUUAGGCAAGGAAAGAUUGUUUAUGUGGAAGACAUAGUUGAAGGCCUUGAGAGUGGUCCAAGAGCGCUGGUUGGACUUUUUAAGGGUCUUAACUUUGGAAAACAAGUAGUUGACGUCUCUGCAUGAAUAAGUUGUUUUGUCAAUCGAUUUGGUGUGCUUGUGUUUCUAACCACUGUAACUUUGUUAAGUGGCUCUUUGGUUUUAUUUUCAUGUUUUUGGACCCUUUUUGGGAUUGCAUAUGUUAAGUGGUGCACUUUGUCAUACAAAAGAUAUUCAUCAAUAAUAAGGGCUAGUUUGGGAUUGUUGUCAUUUUUAAAAAAAGAUGUUUUUGUUGUGUUUUGGAAAUAAUGAGCUGUAAAGUAGUUCCAUGCUUGUUAAAACAAUAUUUUUAAAGUGUUGUUAGUAUAAACAGCUAUGUCAAAACCGUUUGGUAAAUUUUGAUAUAAAACUAGUAACUGUUGAUAAUGACUAAAACAUACAUGAUAUGUCGAAAGUGUUACGUGGUAACUAUGUGGUGGUGGUGGUGGUGGUAUAGGUGGAGGUUGAGUUGGUGGUGGUGGUGAAGGUGGUGGGUGGUGGGGGAAGUGAUGUUAGUGCAUGUGGUGGUGGUUUGUAGUGGUUGUGGUGGUAUAGGUGGAGGUGGAAGUAGAGGUGGAGUUGGUGGUAGAGGUGAUGGGUGGUGGUAGUGGUAAAUGUCAAAUCGAGGUACGAGUGAUCAAAUAAGUGUACAAUAAAAGUUCUUGGGAAUUAGAUUGAUAACAGUGUUUUACGAAUCAUAUUUAACAAGAAAAUCGAGACAUAUUUUCACAUUUAUUGAGCCAUAUGGGUCACAUAGGAUAAUCAAGUCGGCAAUAAAGCUUGGGUGGUAUGACAUCCUCUAUAGGCCUAGAAGUGUGAUAUAAAGGCACAAGGUUUGGCAAAUUCUGUAGUUGAAUUACCACAUCGACUUACAGAGGUGUGAUACGGGCAUCAACUUAAAUACCAAUUUAAUGAUACCAACUUAUGUGGCACAUGACAUAACAAUUUAUGUCAUAUGCCACAUCAUUUUUUUUAUUAAUUAAGUUUUAACCAUUUUUUUGUCAGAAUUAACUUAAUUAUUUAGUUUUAAAUAAAUAAAUUCUGCUCCACGCCUCCCUUCCUUCUCGGAUCUACUACCAUGGCCUCCUUCCUCCCCAACUUGUAUGCCCUUAUUAUUACGCACAUUGAAUUUGGCUUUCGGGGUGUGACAUAUUUUUACCAAUCCCAUGAAGCUUUUCUUAUCUUUGAAUGCUUGAGUGCUAACCAUUGUGUGUUUCCCUUGCUUUAGGAAGAUUGCCUCACUCAGCAAGAAUGCAUGGUGAGGUGUUUGUGAAUGGUGCAAAAUCGGUACAUGUACAUGGCCACGACACCGAUAUAUAAAUGAGAAGAGAAUUCCUUGGUCAGUAUCAAUAUUGCGAAACUGUUGCAGCAUUGAAGGGUUGUGUGAACUCCUCGAUUUCAAGCGAAGUCGAAUAUUGCUUGAUGUGGAAGAUGGCUCAAACUAAUAAAAAUGAGGAAAACGGAUCAUACCAACAAAAAUAUGGCAGAUGGCCAGAAUCAAUAUAACCGUGGUCAGAUUUGGGAAGUGAGGCCAUGGCAGAUUCGGAGAGGGAGGGAGGCCAUGGCAGAUCUAUAAAGGAAUGGAGAAACAGAUCAUACCUCUUCCCUUCUCCUCAUACCAGAAUUCAUCAUACACACCCAAUCGAUUUUGAAAUAUUACAUAAAAGUUGUGAUGGUCCUGGAACUGCAGAUUAAGAACGCUUUUUAUAUGCUUCCCACGAGCAUUCAGACAAACCCUUAGAGGGCGAGUGACAUCAUAACCUUCUCAACUUACCAAAGGAAGACCUCCUUCCGAAGUGGUAACCACUUGCUGAUGCUCCCAACUACAGAACCUAGUUUCCAUGAACACGUGUCACCUCCACAAUAGUUUGCACAAAGUCCCACAUCGAAAUUUUGUGCAAAACUCCCAUUUUCAAGGAACAGUGCCCAAAGAAAAAGGAGUAAAUACUUUUCACCUUUACUGUUACUCUGCCAAAAUUACCACAUAUACUCGCUGACUUAAGCAAUGGAGAGCCUUCGGCAGGUACCACACCGGUGUCCGAAGCUUGACGAUCCCUUCUUCCUUGUUUCCUUUUGCAAGAUCCCUCCAUACCGAAGGUCCACAACCUUCUCCCCUGCUGAAGAUUUAACCCUCAUUUAUCUAAGUUAACCCUCUGAAAAAAAGCAUCAACACACACAACACUCAUUAUCUUUCAGCAAUCUGAUUAUCUUACACUAGUUAAUUUAUGGGUUGUUUGAUAACCAUUUCAAUUUUAAUUUUUAGUUUUCAUUUUAAUUUUUUGUGAAAACUGAAAACAUGUUUGGUAUUAGAUUUCGUUUUCAAAUUAAAAAAAAGUGAAAUCUAGUUUUCAAAUUUUAAAAAAGUGAAAUCUAGUUUUCAAAAUCACCUUUAUUUUUUAAAACAACUUGGAAGUGUUUUAUGUUUUUUUUUUUUUUUUUUUUUUUUGGCACUAUUGUUUGUUGGAGUGUUAGUUGACUUUCCUUGCACACCAAGGUUUCCCAUAUUAACUCAUGCAUAGAUUGGGAUUGAUUUCCUACUCUAAAUAGUAUUAGAAGUUAUUACUUACCUUACUUGGCCUUCAAGGAAUAUUGUAUUAUAAAUAUGGCCUUCUACAAGGAGAAGAAUACACAGAAAAUUCUCACCACAAUUACUCUUUCAUAAUUUUAGCAUUAUUUCAUUCAUAAGUUUCACAUCACCACACAUGAAAUGCACUCCAGUUACCAAAAGUCGGUAUUUGGGACCUCCCAACUUGGACUUGGUCGCUCAAUUCGUGCUUUUGGCCACAAUCCCAAUCCAAACCUUGUCAACUCCAUGUCCAAAGGUCACUAAAAAAUAAUCAUAAUUUUAAAAAAUUCAUCAAAAAAUAUUACGAAUUUUUUGUCAUUCCUGCUUUAACUUUACCUUUUGUUUUCAAAUGUUGACCCGACCCAACCCAACUCUCAAUGCCCGAAGGGUUCUAUCGUGUAGUUAAGAGUUGGGUUUUCCAAGGUGGGUCUAUAUUGAUUCGCACAGCUUUGCGGUAUAUCUGUGGGUAAGAUACUGAUCUCAAAGUAGUAAAGGCUGAACUAAAAGGCUAAAUGGGAAAAGGAAUACUUUCUUUUCUCUUCCUCAAGAAACAUACAUCCUCACCACAAGAGAGGGAGAGUUGCUUGGUAUUUUGUUAAAUAAAAUAAAAUAAUUAAUAAUUGAAAAUCGAAAAUGUUUGAAAAGGAUAUUGGGAAUAAAGAGAGAAGAUGCGGGUGUGCGUAAAAUAACAAUAAAAGAAAAUCAUAUCUUUAAAAUAACAAUAAAAGAAAAUCAAAUAAAAAAUCAACAAAAAAAAAAAGAAAAAUUAAGUUUUAGGGAGUAGAAAUCGGGAUGGAGGGGGGAGACAGAGUUUUUUUUAAAAAUUUUAUUCAUAUUUUAAUCAAUUUUGAUAUUGUUGAGGCCCAAAAAAGUUACGGGAAACCCAAAGACAUUUAAAGCCCAAUAUAACAUAUAAUGUCAGUCAUGUGUUAAUCCAAGCUGUAAUUUGGAUUUAAUUCAUUAAAUAAAUAUAGAAAUAGUGUACAUGUCAUGUCAAACUAAUAAUACAUUUUUCCCAUGCCAAUCACCUAUCAAGCUCACAUGAACCCAAGUCAUGUGGUUUACGGGGCUUGCACGAGGGAUUGUGGUGUGGAAGGUUACGGAGGUCCACAAGGCCCACGGAAGCUCUUGGAUAAUGGAGACUUUGGGCUAGCUACUUGGGAGCACCAAAGUCCAAGCCCAUUACUUAGAGUUCUCCAAUGUUGGUGAGCAAAUUGUACAUUUUUCAAGCACUUCCCUUUACCCAUAGGAAAUAGUCAUUUUCCAAAUACCUAGCUUUACCGGUUGGAAAUAAGCCUUUUCCAGCACUUCCUAUUACCCACUGGAAACAAGUAGUUUCCAGUGCUUCCUUUUACCAAUAGGAAAUAAUCAAUUUAUGGUACCUAGCUUUACCUGCUAGAAAAUAGCAUGACCUAGUGCUCCUUUUUAACCAUUAGAAAUAGGUUGGUUUCAGUACCUCCCUUUACCUAUUGGAAAUAAAGGAAAACUCUCACCCUCUAUAAAUUGGCAUUCAUGGCUCAAGCAAAAGGCACCAAUUUUUUUUCAACCAACACUCCCUCACUCGGCUGCUGCAAGCAUCCCAGCAGCCACUAACCCCCAUAAAGCAUCACCUAGCUCCAAGUUUUUCCUUCCUUCCAAGCUUUAAACAUCAUAGCCUUCAAACCUCAAGCUUUUCCUUCCAUCCUCCUCCUCUUGAAACUCUUAGAUCCCCAUAGCCAUAGCCACACACAACAAAUUAUCAACACCAAACUCAAACAUAUCUAACACCAAGCCAAGCACAUGCAUUCUCAUUUGCUAAACUUGUGGGUCUUUAGCUCCCACACUCCAAGCUUUCAUGCCAAGCUCACAUAAUCUCAUACCAACAUCAGCAAGUCAUCUUCAACUCUUCGUCGAGCUGCCGAAAACAUCAACACAAAACACGCAGCUGCUAGAAGAAGAACAAAGUACUCUCCCAGGACUUGCUUCUCCCUCGGGAUAUUUUGGGCCUAGUUCUCGCUAGCUCAGACAAAGGGGCAACGAAGUCUUCAUUCAUCACUCUAUGGCAAUCCAAGAAUCAACAAAGCCCGAAUGAGCCUUCGGACGAAAAAGACCCCAACAUAAAUGGUGACUCUGCUGGGGACUAGGCUAUUACUCUUACAAUGGCUUCUCCACAUAAGAUUUAAGUCACGUCGAUGCAAUAUACCAAAGAUAAGAGUGUUUUCUCCUUUGUUUCUUUUUUCUUAGCUCUGUAGAGCAACCCAAAAAAAAAAAUGUUGGUAACAUUAUCUCUUUCUCUGUUUCUUAGAUCUAUGUUCUCAAGCUAAAUGAAAUUUUGUGAAAUGACCCCUGGGGUUGAGGCAAAUCAAGCAUUCGUGCCACUGAGGUACCGGAGACACCAAAGCAAACUCCACAACCGUCCUCAAAUUCAAUUGACUUAGGGGCUUCAUGCCAAGAAAAUUUGAUGCCAAAAUCAAAGAAAAAGUUUUCAAACUUGAGAGAAACAGAGCAUACAAAGUAGAGAAGAGAAAUAAAAACUUGAGCAGAAGAAGGUUGAGCUCAACAUCCAUUCACAGCCUGGGGGCUUUAGCCAACAUGCAAGCCGUUGACCACCAUCGUCAACUAUUGAGGCUAGCCCCGUCGUUCACCUUCCACCGUGAAACAUCAUCAGCAAAUCUAGCCAUCGCCGUAAGUCACCUUCGUAGCAGCCCUCACCUCUCUAGAGUUGUGCAAACACGAUGAGAAAGGGAGAAGGAACACUUGCUCAAUGCUCUCAGCCUCAUCUCUGCGAAUGGCUUCACCAAGAUAAGAUUUUGUUGUCUCAUUAAUCUCAAUAUAUCAUAUAUAUUUGUUUACUGUUUUAAUAUAUUCAUAACAUUUAUGUUUCAUUGAAUUGUCUUAAGCAUAGACAAAAGCACGUGGGUUGGUCUACCCAAGUCAAAAAGAUUGAUUGAUUAGUUAUUAUUAUACUCUGAUGCAUUAUAUGGUGCACCAGCUUGCAUCAUUUUCUUAUUAUUUAUUGAUCCACUACUAUUAUUUUACUUGUCACUUGCAUUAUUAUAUUGUAUCAUUAUCUUGUUUAGUGUGUGAGUCAAAUAAGUCACACCACCUUUUUGACUAACACAUGCUAUUCUAUUAGCCUACUUAUGGCUAUGGGUUAUAUUAUUUAUGUGGAGCAUGUGAUUAUUUGCUCCAUAAAGUUUGUAGAAGUUACACACUGUCAAAAACACAUUAUCACAUAUUUUGGUUAUUACUUUAACCAAGUCUUAAUCAUAUAUAUCUUUUUUUUUUAAAGAGCUUCAUCUUUGCAAUCCAAGCUUAAUUCAUUUGCACUGUUAAUCUGGAUUAAUAUAUCAUUCAAAUGGAUUGAUCCAUCCUUCAAGUGGAGUAAUCCAUAUUUAAUAUGUAUUAAUCUACCUUUUUAAUUUUGCAUCUCCAGCAAAAUUUCUCAGGGCCUUAUUCCAUGCACUAUUCACUUAUCUUGUACUUCUUAUCAUUUCGUAUUGAUCCACCUUUGUGUUGAUCAAUCCAUGUUACACAUUGUAAUGUAGAUGCCAACUAUGCAUGCUCAGGACUAGAACAAUACAUGCUCGGCAUGCUUAUGUCAACUAUGUUAGUCAUUUGCAAGCUACAAUGCUUAUAUUAUUUUUGUAAUCAUCGUAUGCUUUGGUCAUGCAGCAUUAUAUCAGUCAAGUGUAAAGGACCCAACCUCCAAACAGCAAACAACUCAUGCUCUUUCCAAGACUAGUGCCUCGGUCCUAUGUCUACACAAGCAAGCUAAAACCAAUAUUAAAAAAAAUAUCCAAGGAGGCAAUGCACACAGCUCCUAAUAUCUCCGAGAGCAGCUUUUCCAUACUCCCACAAGCUCCUUCAAUACACUCUAUAUCAAUACAUUUGUUUGUGGGUCAACCCACAUGGGCAUGCAAAACAUAUUAGGCAAGCAAAACAUAUUAGGCAAGCAAAACCAUGCCAAGUAUUUUAUUUACAGGCCUAGCAUUUUAAUCGAGCAAAAUAUCAAAUAGAUAACAUGCCAUAACAUACCAGGCAAAAUUGUCAAAUCAACAAGCCAUCACAAUAGCAAGGGACCCCCUAUUUUAGUUGUCUCCUACUUGGAUAAAGAAUCUGAGCUGUUGGACAAGAUAUUCAUAUCCACCAACAUGUGUGAAGACAUAGAGGCUGUUUCUUUUAUGCUCUCAUGUACUGGAUGUAGAGGAGCUGGUCUCAAGAGAAAUCAUGCCAAGAAGAAACAAUCCAUCUCCAAAACCAUGCAACUCAAGAUUUCACUUAUUGCAAUCACCAUCAGCAGCAACUCCAAAACCACAAAUGAGCUUAAAAUCCAUUAUUACCAAAACCACUAUCCCAAGAUCAAAAAUCUCCUUGAAAUUCCAAUUAUGUCACUAUGACCUCCAAGUUUGCCACCACUUGCAAGAACUCAAGCUGUUGUAACCCAACACAUUUGCUGCAGUGAUCACAUGCAAAGCUCAAGCUUCAAUAGCCAAGCCCAAGCUUUUGGUUCCUAAAAACAUGCUUACAACAGCUGCAACAAACAAUACCUAAGUCACCAUAAGUGAUAUGCCCCAGCGCCUCAAGCACUUUCUAUGCCCUGACAAUUCUAAUGACCAAGUUUAAGAGUCAAACCAAAAGGCCAUUGUGAUGUCUCAAUUGCCACAAUUCCAUAAUCAAUCAUCACCAAGCCUCAAGCCUUAUUCAAGAAAUCCAAGCACUAUUCUUUACUCAAGAAGAAAAACAUCUCAGUUCGUGGCAAAUAGAAGGAAAAUACUAUGAAGGUACCGGAAGAACCUAAACACUGUCAAGAUGAAGUUUCUUUUACCAAGCAAUCAAAAUUUUUGAAGUGAUGUCAAGCUAUCAAGAAAAAGAGUAAAGUCACUAUGCAACACAACAACCAAAAUAUGCUUGCAGUAACCAAGAUUCAAGCCAAGAAAGACGUGGAAGAUAAUGAUGCGUUGUAUGAAAUGCUCCUGGAAGAUAACACAAGCCCUAUAGUCAUGCUGCCAGAAGAGUGAACCAUCAUGCCACCAAAUUUGAAAGAGGAGCCCUAGAUCUGAGUACUGGAAGGCAGCGCAGUGGACUCCAAAACUAAGAUCUAGUCCAAGUGACUUAAGGCCUCCACAUUGCAAUGCUUAUUUGCCAACACUUAUACCGCUUUCAAGCUACUGCAGACACUAUCAUGCUCAAAUCCUUAAGCAUCUCCCAUUAUAUUUUCAUCUUCUAAUCUACCAAAGCCCUCAUGCUAGACCAAGCUAUAUCUUGAUUCAACUCCACCCACUUGCUCUUUACAGCAGACCAGGCCCAUCUGUAGCUGCUAGAACAAAAAAGCCCCAACAUAAAUGACAAAACCCAAACACUAAAGCACAUCCACCAUGCUAAAUAGCCCAAACGCUAUAUUAAACCACGACACUUUAGCCAAUGCCCAGCAUCCAAGCAUACAAGCCAAAGCUUAGCGUACAAGCCAAUACUAAGCAUAUAGGCCAAUGCCAAGCGUACAUGCCAAAGCUUAGCGUACAAGCCAAUACUAAGCAUACACGCCAAUGCCAAGCGUACACGCCAAUGCCAAGCAUCCAAGCCAAUACCAAGCGUACUAGCCAAAGCCAAGCAUACAAGCCAAUGCCAAGCAUACAAGCCAAUGCCACGCAUAUACGCCAAUGCCAAGCAUCCAAGCCAAUACCAAGUAUACAAGCCAAAGCCAAGCGUACAAGCCAAUACCAAGCAUAUAUAAGCCCAAGAUCAAGCGUACAUGCCAAUACCAAGCAUCCAAAUCAAAUAGUAAGAAUACAUGUCAACAUCAAGCAUACAUGCCAAUACCAAAUAUACACAUAAAAACCAAGCAAGCAAGCACGGAUGUUUCAUGCAUAUUGAAGAACCAGCCAUGCCAUGCCACUGCCAAUUAUUUUGGGCUGAAAUUGAUUAUUGGGCCCAUCUCGCUGCCACUUCAUAGCCCCAAUAAUCAAGGGGGCUAAUGUUGAGGCCCAAAAAAGUUACGGGAAGCCCAAAGACAUUCAAAGCCUAAUAUAACAUAUAAUGUCAGUCAUGCGUUAAUCCAAGCUGUAAUUUGGAUUUAAUUCAUUAAAUAAAUAUAGAAAUAGUGUACAUGCCAUGCCAAACUAAUAAUACAUUUUUCCCAUACCAAUCACCUAUCAAGCUCACAUGAACCCAAGUUAUGUGGUUUACGGGGCUUGCAUGAGGGAUUGUGGUGUGAAACGUUACGGAGGUCUACAAGGUCCACGGAAGCUCUUGGAUAAUGGAGACUUUGGGCUAGCUAUUUGGGAGCACCAAAGUCCAAGCCCAUUACUUAGAGUUCUCCAAUGUGGGUGAGCAAAUGAGACAUUUUUUAAGCACUUCCUUUUACCCAUAGGAAAUAGUCAUUUUUCAAAUACCUAGCUUUACCCGUUGGAAACAAGCCUUUUCCAGCACUUCCUAUUACCCACUGGAAACAAGCAGUUUCCAGUGCUUCCUUUUACCAAUAGGAAAUAAUCAGUUUAUGGUACCUAGCUUUACCUGCUGGAAAAUAGCAUGCCCUAAUGCUCCCUUUUAACCAUUAGAAAUAGGUUGGUUCCAAUACCUCCCUUUACCUAUUGGAAAUAAAGGAAAACCCUCACCCUCUAUAAAUUGGCACUCAUAGCUCAAGCAAAAGGCACCAAUUUUUCUUCAGCCAACACUUCCUCACUCGGCUGCUGCAAGCAUCCUAGCAGCAAUCAACCCUCAUAAAGCAUCACCUAGCUCCAAGCUUUUCCUUCCUUCCAAGCUUUAAACACCAUAGCCUUCAAACCUCAAGCUUUUCCUUCGAUCCUCCUUCUCUUGAAGCUCUUAAAUCCCCAUAGUCAUAGCCACACACAACAAAUUAUCAACACCAAACUCAAACAUAUCCAACACCAAGCCAAGCACAUGCAUUCUCAUUUGCUAAACUUGUGGGUCUUUAGCUCUCACACUCCAAGCUCUCAUGCCAAGCUCACAUAAUCUCAUACCAACAUCAGCAAGUCAUCUUCAAUUCUUCGUCGAGCUGCCGAAAACAUCAAAACAAAACACGUAGCCAUGGAAGAAGAACAAAGUACUCUCCCAGGACUUGCUUCUCUCUCGGGAUACUUUGGGCCUAUUUCUCGCUAACUCAGACAAAGGGGCAACGAAGUCUUCAUUCAUCACUCUAUGGCGAUCUAAGAAUCAACAAAGCCCGGAUGAGCCUUCGGACAAAAAAGGCCCCAACAGAUAUAAAAAUACCAUUUAUGCCCCUGCAGUUAACAGAAAAGUUAACAAAAUUAACGGCAGGACCAUUUGUCCUAACGAAACUGAAGUUGAAGAACUACGGGAACCAUUUUGAAAAUUAAGGUACUCAAAUGCAAAUCGGGUCUAAGUUCAGGAACUAAUAAAACAAUUAACCUUUGAGUUUAUAAUGCCUCGAGAGUAUAUAGGAAGAGGACACUCCAACUAGCAGCUAUGGGUGUUUUUUUUUUUUUUUUUUUUUCCUCUAAAACCCCCAGUGCAAACAUGGGAUGUUCAUUUAUAAGGGAGUUGAUUUCUCCACUCUCAUUUUUUCCACUUAUAUCUGGGUGUCUCACUUGUCAUGUCAGUAAGGGUAAAAUAGGAAAGGGAAUGAACAAAAAAGAACCAAAUUAAUGAAAAAUAUUGAAAAAAUAAAAGGGAGUGUAAAUGGAGAAAACGGGAGUGGGGAAAUCAGCUCCCAUUUAUAAUACUAAUGCUAUAUUGGGCAUUAGAUAAUCAAGGGAGAAACAAAUGUGUGGAACAUGUAUCUCAUUGUUUUGCUAUAUAUGGCCAAUGGCAGUAUUUCAUGCGUAAUAACAUUUCCACUUGACUUAGCAUACCAUGAUUGGUCGGAGCUAGCAAAAAAGUGUUAUCCUGUUUAACACAGUCGGGGGCUAUGUGGGCUUAUUAUAGUAGAGAUAUUGCGAAGAAAUGUAAGAAACUGCAACUGAAUUAACACUUUCUAUAACCACCAAAUGAAAAUUAUCAACUAAAAUUUUACAUAUCGUGGGAUAAGUUAUUGUACAAUAAUUGGAGGCAUGUACAAGGACCAGAAUCCCAUAAAAUAGCCGAGAAACCUGCCACGAAAAAAAAUAGUAAAAUAAAAUGGGUAUAGCUAAACAUCAUGGCCUCCACAUCCAUGCGGUCCAUUGAAUCUGAAGCAAACUUCCAGCUUAAGGCAUCCACUUGUUUCGGUUAUGCAAGUGGAUUAAGAAUUGGAUUGAUUGUUGAUGAUGAUAUCACAACAAAAAAAUUAGGCAGGUACCAUUAUUCCAAGACUUCAGUUGGCCAAAGUCUCUUCCAUGUGGAAAUCUCUUCCUUGGUUCUAAGCUUCCUUAUGCCCCCGUAAAACCCAUCUGCCUCAUUUCCCUCCUCUCGAUGGUCUCUUCUGCUGAUGUUUGUGCAUCUCCACCGUGAUCCAUGCGUGUACUGGUUGAACUCCAGCACCACAGUGUCUGUUUAACAAUCACAGAUGAUCACCGUGUUAAUUUUUAAUGCAAUAGUUUCCAAUCUAAGAGCUCAAGAAAAACUUUCCGUCUUGUAUAUUGCUCAUUUCAUCCGAACUCAAAGCAGUGAUAAAAAUCUAUAAAAGAAAUAUUUCAGGAUCUGUAAUUGUUUCUGUAAAUCUAUAAUCAAACAAUUUUCCAAUUGCUGUGUUUAGCAAAACCAAUUUAAUGGGUUCUCCAAGCACUCCAAAAUAUUUGGUUUAGGAAACAAAAUGAAUUGAAACCCUGCGGAAACAAAUAAUUACAGUGCUACUUUCUGUCAUUCAUAAAGUAGUUUGAAAUUCUUAUUAUUAAUAUUAUUAUUAUAUGACUAUAUAUGAUGACCAACGUCGUCAUUAUCAUGAUUGAUUAUCAUAUAUAAAUGUGAAUGUCUGUUUGUGGUGAGAAGAGGACACAAAUCUCUUACAAUAUUGCUUGGCUGGUGGGGUGUGAUGGAGAGAUUAAAAAAAAUUGGAAAGCCAAAGAAGGAUGAGCAUGGCAGCCCCACAAAGCAUUAAGAUUCCCAACUUUGCAAAAAACAGAGACUCCAGGGAAGAUUGAGUUCUUUCAUUGUGGUUGGCCAUAAAUAUUCUUCCCAGACAAAUUUAUCACAAUGUUGGUGGAAAUUAUAACAUAAUGACAAUGAUAUGUCUCGGGGACAAAUCAAACAGCACAAAAACUGGUCCACCUAUUAAAAUAUUGGGUAUCAGAAAAGGGAGGAGGCGAAGACUAGUAGUGUCUAUUCUGUGAAAGCUAACUUUGCAUUCUUAUUAUCCACAACUUAGAGAUAUCAAUGGCUUCUUGCAAGAACCUCAAUUCUUUAUGAACUUUCUGCCCUAAAAUGCUUUAUCUAAUUGCUGAGACAAUGGUGAAAGAAAAAAAAAAUUAUUGUUGGAAUCUUAGCAUAAUAAUAUUUUCCAGCCAAAAUCAGUUGUUAGAUUCUCCAACAGCAAAAUCUCUUUUCGCAAUCACAUACUAGUCAAUCCUACAGAGCAUAAGAUCCUACUUUGAGGGUUGGAAAGGAAUGAAUUCAACUCACCACUAUUAUGACAAAGGCAGUAAUUUUCAUGUCCAUCACAUGAUUCUAGGUGACCCACAACACCAUACCACCAACCUGCAAUACAUACAGAAAAUCCUAUCAAGCAAUGGACAAUGGGAAAUUAAUUAAUUUCACCUUUUAUUUAAGUUUCUGCAUAUUAAACGAAUCUAAUGUCUUUCAAUUAGGUUGAACAAGCAAAUCGAACCAAAAGUCGUAUCUGUAUAUAGUAUCAGUUAUAUACUGUUCAAGUUCCAAUUGCCAAGUAUUAGAUGCCACCAAGCAAAAUUCAAUAGACCUUCUAUAUACAAAUUAGGUUGAACUGCCUUUAUUUUAAUUUUUUUUUUUAAGGAAACGUUGGAAAAACAUAUUUGUAGACAUUGCAGAAGCAUUUAAUCUUCAAGUUUCUUCCUAAAGUAACAAACCAAAAGGAACUCUAGAUUACUUAAAUGAGCAGUAAUGGGAUUUAGAAUAAUUUGAAAGGGAAGUUGGACGAAUAACAAACCAUAAGGAAAUUCUUUGUUUCUUCUCCACUGUAUCUCAAUAUGAUCACCAGGCUGUAACUCAUUCAAACAGUCAGACAUAUGAAGAUCAUGAGCGGGAGUCUCGAUUGGUGGUGCUCUAAGCCUUUCCCAAGGCACACCGUUUUCAAUUGCAACUGCUCGCCUUCCAUGUGGUGGGUACCUGAACAGAAAACCCACCUCAAGUUAGAUCAUCCACAUCGACUUACCAUAAGCAAUAAGAAACAGUCAUAAAUGCAAAAUCCCAACAACAUACAUAAGCAAUAAGAAACAGUUAUAAACAUAGAGGGAGACCAACUGUCCAACUACCUGGCUUGGAAGGUGUCAGUGCGAGGAUCAUAGCUAAUUUCAGCAUCAUAGCAUGACAACAUAAAUCCAACAUGUCCAUUCUGCAAUACAAGAAAAAAAAAACAUAUAUAACAUGUAAUUUAGGGAACAGAACAGAAUCAACAGUUUUUAAUAAAUAUUGCAAACUCAUAGAUAGAUUACCUCGCGGUUAUAUACUUGAGCUGGGAACCAGAACCUGCCAGUCUCAAGAGCAAGGUACCAAGACAUGACGGAAUCAGCUGGCAAAGAACACCUCUGCUGGCUAUGAUCAUCAACCCUGGAUCUAAUCCAUGAGAAAGGCCAACCAAGAGAUAGAAUUCUCAUGAGACCCUUUUGCUUGCCCUGCUUGACAUCAACCAAAUCGGUUUUGGAAGCAAUAUGCCACUGCCACUCCCUGUAGGCAGCAGGGCCAAUAACACUGCCCCAUUUCUGUUUCAUGUGCUUCUCCCAAAGGUGAUCGCUCCUGCAUCUCUCCCUCAAAGAAGUACAAACCCCCGUCAUUCGAAAAAGCGCGUCGGGAGGAAGCCUCUCGAGUAUGCAUUCCAAGACCAGUUCUGGCAAGUCCAACACAGACAGCUCUGAUGUGUCUUCUUCUUCAACAUUCUCAACUUUAGCAGAAAGAGACAGAGGCUUCCUCUUGAGGGACAUUUUGGAAGGAAAUGGAGAAAGAAAGAAAAUUGAAAAGCUCUUCUUUGUCAACUUGGAUAUGGUAAAGAAUGAUAAUUCUUUCCAAAACCAGGGGGACAACAAGCGCAUCUCACAAGCCCAUGGUGGGAGAGGCUUGAGAGGAAGAGUCUUGAAAAAGAGAAAGGAGAGGCAAGUAAUGAACAAGUAAAGUAGCAUUACAAAAGGGGAAUUCUCCUCUUAAGGGUCAAAUUCAAGUUUGGCAUAAAUGAUGAGGGACCAAUUAUGGAAAAGCAAUGGUAAAAUGCUAAAUGGAGCAAAACUUGAAUUGUCUUCACUUUCAAUUGUUCCUCCUCCUCACCCUCUCUCCUAAAAAUUGUAAAAGCAAAAGUGGGAUCUUUAAUAACCCCUUUCAACUGAUGGGUUUUUAUUGGUUCCGACGAAGCCCACCAAAACCCAACGGUGGGCCUCCUCUUCCAAAAAAGUAAUCAAACUAUAAUUGGUGAUGACUGUAGACACCCUCUUACCGAAAGAAAAAAACCAACUUUGGUGGGAGCUCACCUUCAAGCCAAUCUAGAACCAAAAGGAAGCCAAAUACUUUGCUCCCUGCCUCUCUCUCCUUCAAUCAAACAUGAAAAUGCUUAACUUUCCUUCCUUUAAACUAUAAGGACCCCAGCCGUACAGACAGCUUCAACAGCUGUCAAUCAAGGAGAGGAUGAAAGAGAGAUAAAAAGACUAAACCCAAGAAGCUAAUGGGGGUGGGGCACUCAGAUCUGAUAUGGGCUUUCUGACACCUGGAGCUCCCAAGAAAAAUAAAAGAUUAAGAUAAGUCUAGAUGCAGAGACCCAUAUCUCCAAAAUCUAUGAUUCUCUUUCGGAGCAAAGGCGAAGAAAAUCUGGAGAAAAUAAUAAUGAGCUGCAAAGCAGAUCUGGGUAGUUGAGAUUGAAACAAAAUUAGGUGAAACGCAACACCCAAAUGAUCAAUUAAAUAAAAGAAAUGAGUCCAAAUUAAAGGUAAAGACAGAAGGAGAUCAGGAGGCGGUGAAGUGAAAGAUAACAGAGAUUUUGAUGAAGAAGGUGAUGAACUUGAGAAUUGUGAAUUAUUCACAUUAGUUCAACAGAUUCUUCAUCAAAGAAUCCUCCCCCACCCACGGUCCUCUCAACGACCCUCUCUCUCUCUUUAUUUUUUCUCUGUCCCUCUGUUUGUGUCUCUCUCUCGGGCAAAUCAACGAACAGGUAGUGGACAAGAAGAAAAAAGAAGAAAAACAAAACGGACAGUCUUAUAUAAUUGACUGAAUUGGAGGCCAUGCUUAAAUAGUUUUUGGAGGCUUUUUGAUUGUGUGGAUAUUAAACAAAGUAUUACCCUUCAAAAAUGCAAAUACAACACUGCCUCUCUCUUUCUCUGUCUAAAGAUUUUCUCUUUCUUUCCCUUCCUCUCUCUACCAAGUUGGACUUGGAGGAAAAUACGUAUAACCAGAAAAGGCAACCGUUAGGGUGACGUUUAUUGGUGGUUAAGAGAUCCUGUUCUCAUGCAGCCUCCACCACUUGCAGCCAUAACGGUAACCAAUGGUCAGCAACACGUAAAAUCCGCUUCAUCCAUUUAUGGACUACUUGCAGAACUAAAUAACAAAAUGAUUUUUUUUUUUUUUUGGUUUCUGAGUAGAAGCGAUUUUACAAAUAUUCAUUGGGUGCAUAGAGAUUUCGAAUCUCUAAUCACAUGAAUGAAGGUGAAAGAGCUCAACUAACUGAGCUAUAUCCCACUAACAACAAAUGAUAAUUCAAUACUAUUGCCAAAAAAAAAAAAAAAGAUUAAAAAAACGCAAAUCAUUCAAAAGUUUUCAUGCUUUAUAUGGAGUUCAAUUUUCCUGUUUCCAUUUCUCCUGUUCCCAACCUGUUUCCUUCUUACUUUGUUGACAUGUGUCCUCUAACUUAACAGAAGGUAAGUUUCAUUUUUACUAACAAAAUAUUAAAUGUUAAAAUAAAUUUAUUCAAAAGCACGGCCACUUCAUCUUCUCCGUCCCAGGCAGCGAUGGCAGCAUAUCCAAAUCCACAACUAUGCCUUCAUCUUUUAUGGUCCAUUCAUUGCAACAAACAUGCCCUCUCUCUCUCUCUCUCUCUCUCUCUGUGCACCGCCACACCAGAUCCAGACCCUCACCACGUCCUCUGCCUUGACAUUCCCGGGGUGGAGGGAUAUCCGAUUCUUUAAGUCAAAGAAAACUCUUGUUUUUUCAUGUGUGAGUGAGGAUUGAAACUUGAAGGAAGUUGUUCUUCGCAUGUCCCACAAUAUUCUUCAUGGCCCGGCUAUUCCCAAAUCAAUGCAAUCCAAAGACAACAACGCCUCCAUGAUUGCAUCUAUAAAAAUAAAAAGGGAUUGUCGCCACUGGGGUGGGGAGGUUGUGGUGGGUGGCAGUUGAGGUCCAGUGGGUGGCUGCUGCGUUUUAUCUUUUACUUCAAUUUUGAGUUUUUUUAUUUAUAAAUAAUUUGAUUCAAAGUUAACAGUGUUUUGUGGCAUGUUAAGUGAGGACACUUAACAGAGUUCACCUUCUGUUAAGUUAGAGGACACAUGUCAACAAAGUAAGAAGGAAACAGGUGGGAACAUGAGAAAUGGAAACAGGAAAAUUGAACUCCUUUAUAUGUGGGAUUGUGGACACUGUGGACCUACAUAGGCGCAAGAAGAUAUAGCUACACAUCCCCUCGCCGUAGAAAGCGUUUCAGAUGCCUGAAAGUUGCCCCUCCGCUUAGUUUGGUUGUGCACUCCAUCUGUUCGACAAAAGGCCUAAUAGACUUCUUUCCUUUGAUGUGCAGUGCUUUGUGCAUAGUGUGCACUUAUGUUUUGUUUUUACUCCUAGCCCGAAAUGACGUUGUUUUGGACCAAGAGAUUAAAAAAAGAAAAAGAAAGUCUCACUUUUUUGAGAGAUUCUUUAUGUUCCCACCAAAACAAAUCCUUACAAAAAAAAAAAAGAUCAUUAAAUUCAUCUUUUUUCUACAUCUCCACCGCCAAUCUAUUUAUUUUCUUUUUUUAUUCAUUAGAGAACUCCUAGUCUUUUAUAGAAACUGAUUCAUCGAUCAAGUCUUGUGACAAGGAAGAAAAUAUUAUACCGAUCAAGUUUCCAAAGUAAGUUCGAAUGUAAUUCAUAGUUAAUCUAGAAAGAAAAAAAAGAUGAAACAUGCUGCCCUUUUUUUUUGCUUCUUCAUCAACCGUCGAGCGAGUUUCGUUUUCGACAUAUGAAUGACAUUGGUAUUGUUUGAUUUAUAAGGCUAUUUGGUUGUCAAUUUUUUUUAAAGCUUUUAGCCUUUCAAAAUUGCACCUCCAUUGAAAAAUUCUUGGGUUCGCCAGUAAUUGUGAAUAUACUAUACAUGAGUGGAUACAAUUGGCUAGCUUGCAACAGCUAUAAUGGCUAGGUUUCUUUUCUCUUUUUCUUUUUCGAUCAAACAAAUCUUCAUAAAAUUUGUCUAUAAAUAUCCAACAAAGUUCAUAAAACAACAUGCAUAUACACUAAAAAAUAAAAAAUAAAAAACUUUUUCCGAGGGCCAAACAGCAUUGGAAAUAUUCAUUAAUAUUUUUCAGAGCGCAAAUGUUCGUCGGAAGGCAUCAAAAAAGCAAUCAUCGAAAAAGGUCCAUUUUCGAUGAGCCAUCAGGAAGGAAAAAAAAAAAAAAAAGGUUUUCCCAACGGGUAAUGGGCGUCGUAAAUACUUUAACUUUGUCAAAAAUAAAUUUUCAAAACGACGACAUUUUUGUAUUUGCGAUAUGCUAACGUUGUCGCAAAUAAUUGGGAAGCUUUGUCGGAAAUGUUUUCUUAAAUGAUGAACUUUUGUUUUUUCUAACAAUGUUUUACCACAAAGAAAUGUAAUUGGAAACAUUAUUUUCGACUAACCCAUGUAUUUCCGACAAUGUCAGUUCAUCUGAAAAAUGACAUUCUUGAUAAUACAAUCCAUCGAAAAAACAUAUUUUUGAUGAAAGUACAUCUUCGGAAAAUGUUAUUUACGACAACACAAAACUAUGCAAAAUAGGCAAAGGUGUCAUCGGAACUAUGCAAUUAUGAAUAUUUAUAAAUAAUAAAAAAAGAAAAAAAAAAGUAGCGUAGUAUAUACUCAAAAUUCUCAUAAAUGGAGCAUAAUUUGUCAAAAAUAUAAAAAUAAUAUUUCCGAUCGAACAUCUGAAAAUAUUUUCUAAGUAUGACAAUACUAAAUAAAACAUUUCUUUGGAGAACAAUACAAAAUUAAGCAUUUCUUUAGAGAAUAGUACACAAUAAAAAUAAAAACUCAACUUUGUUCAUAGACAAAUCAAAACAUUCUAUCACAUACACUCUUAUUUUUUUGAUCCAAUGAUUUCCAUUAAUUCAGAUAUGUGGAAUCAUGAUUUUAGAUCUCCAUAAUCGAAGGUUAUGUCAUAAGGAGUCUAUAGCAAUUUUUGGUUUAUUUUUCUUAUUUUUAUUUAAUUUCUUAUGAAUUGUUUAAGAUAAAAGACAAUAAAUAAAAAGAAAAAGGACACCUUUCACCAUCUUAUACAGCCAAAUGUCAAAAAUGCUGAGGAGAGCUUUUAAGAACUGCCACGUGUUAAUCUAUUAUAUUUCAUAUUAUUUCUCUAUGAUUUUACUUAUAAAAUUUAUAAUAAAAAAUAUUAAAAUAAAAACACAGAAAAUUCCUGAGAUAUUCUCUUCUAUUUAAAGCUCCAAAAUUAUCAUUUUGAAUUAUAAAAAUACAAAGCAAUGAUAAAAACUCAACUUUGUUCAUAGACAAAUCAAAACAUUCUAUCACAUACUGUCACAUCCCAAGAUCAGCUCUGCCGUAACACGAUAUUGUCUGCUUUGGGCCCCCCUCUCUGCCCUCACCGUUUUAUUUCUGGGAACUCACGAGCAACUUCCUAGUGGGUCACCCAUCCUGAGAUUGCUCUAGCCCCAACUCGCUUAACUUCGGAGUUCCCAUGACUCCAAAGCCAAUGAGCUCCCAAAAUGCCUCGUGCUAGAUGGAGGUGGGCAUGUACAUAUAAAGCAUAUCACUCCCUCUCCGUUGGUCGAUGUGGGAUGUUACAAUCCAACCCCUUGUUGGUAAUUUUUAACAACAAUAUUAAAACCUUGCAAGUGCACAAAUCAAAUGAUAGUAUAGUAGGCAAGCAAGGGUCAUUCCCACAGAUAUUAUAAUCUAAAGAGAUGUUUGUCAAUGUCACGCAACGAAAACUAAAACACAAGGACUUCCACACACACACCAACACCAAGAGGGGUUUUGAUUUGGUUUUGUGAAUAAAACAAAACAAGGAAAACAAAAGAAAACAAAAUUUAAAUUAGAGUUUAAGAGAAAUUGGUUUAAAAUCAGUCAAGAACAAUAGCUAGGACUCACUAUCCCAAAAACUUGUUGGUAAUUUUUAACAACAAUAUUAAAACCUUGCAAGUGCACAAAUCAAAUGAUAGUAUAGUAGGCAAGCAAGGGUCAUUCCCACAGAGAUUGUAAUCUAAAGAGAUGUUUGUCAAUGUCACGCAAUGAAAAUUAAGACACAAGGACUUCCACACACACACACCAACACCAAGGGGGGUUUUGAUUUGAUUUUGUGAAUAAAAUAAAACAAGGAAAAGAAAAGAAAACAGAAUUUAAAUUAGAGUUUAAGACAAAUUGGUUUAAAAUCAGUCAAGAACAAUAGCUAGGACUCACUAUAUACCUCCAAACAAUCAAUCAAUCCAUAAACAACAAAAGAUAAUCAAUUUCUAGCAAGCAUAUGAUGACGACACUCACAACAGGAUCAUGACAUUUGACUCGAGUUGUAUGAUAUGUAAAGUGUAUGGCAUUUACAUCAAUACGUGUAUUCUUAAUUGAAAUCUAGUAUGGCAUUUACUCAAAUUAACAAUUAAGAAUCCAUUAAGAUCAAAGAGAAUAUGAAUGUCACAAAAACCCUAAAACAUGGCAUUUGUUAUUAGGAAUUCAAGAAUCGAUUUCUCAUAACUAGUUCUUAACCCAAUUAUUCGUUGCAAACAAGAACACAUUUAAUAUGGCAAUUGACCUAUGUUCUACAACAAUUUAAUUCCAAUACAUGCUUCGAAGUUAGCUACUCAAAGAAACAAAAUAUCAGAAUUCACAUAACAUAGAGAAACCGAAAUCAUCACUCUUGUAGAAACUGAAAAAUCCAUUCAAACUUGUUUAUAUAAUUGAAAUCAUGUUUAGGGCUUCAAGAUUAAGCCCUAACUAACAAAAAAUUAGUUACUCAUGUUCUUGGAUGAACUCAAAAAUAAAUACAUAAGAACUGAAAAUUAAAAGAAGAAAGGAACAGAAAGAACUCGUUGGCAGCUUUCUCCUCUUGCACGGUUGAUCUCCUUAGGAUGUGAAUCCUCUGUAUCGGAGCCUUGGCUGGCCUUUUAUAUCACUUAUAUCAGAGUUCUAAACCCUAAAAUUGACUGAAAAGUCGUCCAAGAAGUCUUGGUAAACAAGGAAUCCAAAUAGGAAAGUAAAAAUCACAAUUCCUAACUCCAUAGGAAAAUACAGCUCAGCCCAAUUGUCACACGAUUUGGGGAUUCUCGGCCUUGUAGAAAAAUCAUUAAAAAUAUAUUUUGGAAAGAUAAAUGUCUUAUAUUUUCAACCAUAUAUAACACAUACUUGAAAAAUUCGGGAAGGCUUCCGUUUCUUCACAUACACGUAACAUGUACGAAACUGUCCUGUCUGCAUGUGGGCUAACUUUACUUGUAAUACUGUACCAAUUGGCUCGGUAGAAAAUUCUAGAAAAAUCAUAGAUUGAACUUCAAGAUGUUAGCUUUCAUCUCCUCUUGUGCUAAAAUUCCUCUGAAAAGUUGAUUUUCCCUUAAAAACCUUCUAAGAGCGCAGAAAAGCUGAAAAUUAGAAGUAAAGUAAUAAGCCCUUUUUAAAUCUAAUUCUCCUAUAAAACCUAAGUAAAAAGAGUACAUAAGUGAGUAUAUUUAUGGACUUAUCAAAUACCCACAACUUAGAUUUUGCUAGUCCUCGAGCAAAACAAAACGAAAAGUAAAAACAAAAGAACAAAGACUCAAAACAAACAAACAAUUAAAUUCCCAAUAUUGAUCUCAGAGAUAAUUACCAAUAGUUAACUAACUUCCAAGAAAUAAGAAAUAAGCAACAUUAACUCAAGACAUUAUCAAAGGGUUAACCAAACUUUAAUUGAACAACUUGGAGUGUUGUUUGUGAAAUAGCCAACAUUAAUAUAACCACGACGUAUGCUUCACAAAAGUUAAAUAACCAAAUAAGAACAAGCUUUAACUUCAAUUCUCACCAAGGAUGUUCACUCCAAUGAAAGCACUCGAAAUUUGACAACGUAGUGUCACUCAUAUAUGUGAGAAGAAUCAAAUCAAUACGAUGUACUCACAUAAUUGAAAUAAAAGCACAAGACAUGAAUAAAAGAUCUCAUGGAAAGAUAUCGCAUACUUGAAAACAUUUAAACCAUCUGACCGUAGUCCUUCCACACCUAUUCUCCACAUGAGGAACCACACUUCUCCUUGGAUCAAGUAGGACUGUCACUAAGGUUGUAAUAGGGCUUAGGGUGAUGGGUGAAACAAGAAAGAGACAUAGAUGAACAAACGAAGUCUAAGGGCUAAGUAAAGCUUUCCAUGAAAUUAUAACAUCUUGCACUUUAGCACACAAUUUUAUCUUGAUACUAUCUUGAAUUUUUUUUUUCUUUCACAUUUUUUUCUAACUCCAUUAGCUUUCUAAUCAACCCAUGUAACAAGUGUUAGGCCAAUAACUCCCAAGCUAGAUAGCUUUAGGGUAUUAAGUGUAAAACACUCCUCGGGCUUAAAAAUUCGAGUUGAAAAGGCUUCGGAAUCAGACUUUUUUUUUGUUUGUGAAAUAGUAUCAUAUACACAUGAUUGAACAAUUUGUGCAAUUCUCCCUUAGCCAUGAAAGUGCUCUACAAAACUCCUGAGAAGGGUGUAGGAUAAAAAUGCAAAAGGUUUAGGAGGAGAAUUGGGUAAAGAAUGAUAAAGGCUUACAUAAAAGGCACAAGGGGUUGACUAGGGAUAAAAUUGAUAUAGGUUGGCUGGAAAGGCUCAAACGAACGAAACAAGGCCUAUAUCACUUCCUAGGAUAUCCAUGUGGUUCAUGAAAUAUGCCUCAAAUAGAUAAUGAAAGUAGUUCUAGCAAACAAUUUAAACAUCCUCAAGUACUUGACCAAAACAAAGAAUAAUGAGAUCACAACGACUUGUAGACGAGAAAACUAAAGAAUAGUAUAUAACACUCAAGGAAGAAAGGUAUAGGCUCAAAAGCUCACAUAAUAAGGGUUGUACAAGUCUACAUUAGCCUCAUAUUAAUAUGGCUAUGUGCAAAAAUAUUUACCAAGUUUAAUAAAAAAAAAAACUAAGGCAAACACAAGGAUAAUGUAAAGAAUUAAUGUCAUGCUCACAAUUCCUUACAAGUUAAUUGUCAAAAAAAUUCAAUCUCAUCAUAGAAUUGGGAAGUGACUACUACAAACAAAUAAAAACUUAGACUCAAAGUUAAAGAAAAUAUUUUUAGGUUUUUAUGACAUUUUUUUGAUUUUUGAUUUUAUUUUAUUUAAAAGAAAAAAACUGAAAACAAAACAAAACAAUAGAAUAAAAACUAAUUAAAUAAAAACCAAAAGUUGAAAGGGAUUGAAAAUCAAUCAACAAAGCUGCAGUUCUGACCCAGGCGCAAAGAAUGACAUGUAUCUCACAAAAUACUUGCCCAAAGUUCACAUUCUUCAUAUGGUUGAAUUCAGAUUGAAAAAACAAAGAACGCAUCGUGGGCCAAAAUACAAAAACAGCAGCGGAAAAGGACAGAAUUUGAAACAAAGACAGAGGACUGCUGCAUACAUUAUGAAACCAAAGAACUCAAUCACCCACAACUUAAAACAAACAUUGUCCUCAAUGUUAAAAACAAAGAAACAUAAGUCAUGCAAAUUCAUUUAGAGAGAGAGAGAGAGAGAGAGAGAGAGAGAGAGAGAGAGAGAGAGAGGGUGUGAGAACUUCCCGGGUUUGUGUAGAUGUAUGGAUGAGCAAAGCGUAGAAUACGUCGAAAUGAGAGAGGAUAGAUAAUGAGACGAACUCAAACACCCACAACUUGUGUCUUUGAAUGCCAACGGACCCCUAAUAGCUCCUUAAUGUAACACCCCGAGUCCAAAUUUAAUUACCAAUUUAAAUUAUUUAAUUGAAAUUAUGAAUUUACCCUCCAAGUAGGGGUAAUUUGGUCAUUUCUUAUAUGGAAAGAUUUUGGGGCAACGGGUGGUAUGGUUAUGUAGAUCGUACUGAGAUGAAUCCGUAGACACGUAGUGGGCUUAAAUCGGAGUUGUAACGAAGAAGUUACGAGCAAAACAUCACAAGUGGCAAAACCGUAAAUAUUUCAAAAUGGGUUUUUAAUAAAAAAAACCUGAAAACACACAC
This 60909-nucleotide long non-coding RNA is filed under the name Prunus persica (peach). RNAcentral's name for it is "long non-coding RNA (PPER_LNC004544)". Lineage: Eukaryota; Viridiplantae; Streptophyta; Magnoliopsida; Rosales; Rosaceae. The record is from RNAcentral.